CACACAUCAUCUAGAACAAGCAGAUAUUUCUUCCCACUAAAAAUUUUUUCCAGUCUAGACUUCAAUGCUUCUAACCCAAGAUCUUCCGAUCUAUUCCCUGUUGCAGACUCUAGAAUCUUUCCAACAGUCAUUUUCACAUCAAAAGGUUCUGAAACACACACCCAUAUUCUUGGCUCAAAUGAAUUCUUAAUCAAUUCAUCAUUCAAUAUGAUUUGAGCAAGAGUGGUCUUCCCUAAUCCUCCAAUUCCAACAAUUGAGAGGACUGAAACACACUCUUCACCAUUGGAAGACAAUACAAGUUGUGUAAUUGCCUUUUUGUCACCCUCUCUCCCAAUAACCACUUCAGGUAAAGAGGACGUAGUUUGAUCCCUCCAUACAAUACUCUCCUGAUCAGUACGAACCUCUAAAUUAAAUUUUCUGUCAGCUUCAAUAUCAGCUAGCCUCUCCCUAAUCGCCUUAACUUUAUGACCCAUUUUAAAACCAUAAACAAGUUUAUUUGAAGACGAAAAGAAGAGACUUACCUCCUUUGUCAUUCUAUUUCCAGUCAUCACUCGGCGCCUUAGGGCUUCUGUGGCGAAGUCAUCUACCAAGUCAUCAGCAUCAUAAACCACUUCUUCUAGCCUCUCAAGCCAGCCUUUCACUUGACGGUUAAGUUUCUGCUGCUCCUCAGCAUCCAGAAGAACGUUGCGAAUACUAGAAACUGUGGCCUCAAGUUUCUUAAGCUCACCUUUGACGCCCCACCACAAUCCGAUCUCAUGAAGGGCUCGAGAACCCAGCUUGGUAAUGAUAUCUAUGACAACGUUAGAGAGAACUCCGUCGGCCAUUUUGGGUGUUUUGGUUUGAUUGUAAAAGGAUGAAAUGUUGCUGUGAAGAAGAAGAUGGUGACAACAAAUGACUAAUUUAAAGAAAAAAAAAAGUGAAGGAAAAAGCAUUCUUCUAAAUAAUUAUCUUCAGUCGGUCAGCUUUGGUGGGCGGUGGUUUGCUUUAAUUUAAAAAGUAAAAUAUAUUAAUAAAUUUAUAUAUAGAAUGAAAGUAAGUUAUGUUUUUUUUAAAAUAAUUUUAUUUUUUUAUUUAAAAAAUAUUUUUUAUUAAAUAAAUUUUGAGUGAUUCAAAUCGUUAAAAAAUAUAAAAUAUAUUUUUAAUGUUAAUGAAUUUUGGUUAUUGAAAUGAAAGUAUUUUUAUAUAUUUGUAUGAUGAUAUAAAAUUAUAUCAGGUGUAACAUGUAUAAUAGAUUUAUUAUGAGUUUUAAAGAUUUUAAAUGGAUCUGAAUUUCAAUACUGUAGCGAUUUGAUUUUUGAAUCGUUAUAGAAAUAACCGGUUGAUUUUAUGAAUUCUAGUACUGUAGCGAUUCGAUUUUUAAAUCGUCAUAGGAACAAUAAUCAUUAUAGGAACAAUAGGUUGAUUUUAUUUUUUGGGUAACAGAAUCUCAAGAGUAUCCUAUUGCAUAUUAUAGAUCCAUCGAUGUUAGAGAUGUUGUGUAUGCACACAUUCAAGAUUUGGAGAUUCCUUCUCUUCUGAGGUUCUAAAGAUUGUGUCAGCAACAUUAUCCUACAUUGCACCUUUCAAAAAAGUAUGAUUUUUUUUAUAUUUUUGCAUGCUCAUUUUGAACCAGCUAUAUAAAUGCUAAGAUCUAUAAUUAUUCGGAUAAUUGAGAAAUAGUUGUUUUGAAUGAUUAAUUUGAUCAUGGAAUAUAAUCUGAGUUGCAGAUGUGGCUCUAGAUUGAAUUACUUAACAAAGUAUGAGGUAUCAAAGGAAAAAGCGAAAACUUUGGGCAUUGACUUCAUUCCUUUGGAGGUUAGUUUGAAGGACACUAUUGAAAGCUUGAAGCAGAAGGGCUUCCUCAGCAUUUGAUUUUGGCUGUUGGAUAAAAAGCAAUGCAAAUAUUACAUUGGCCUUAGCUUCCUAUUGGUGCAAGAUCUUAUUGCCCUUCAAGAUUGUCUUUAUUUGAAAAAAGUGGACCAAUACAAUUUAUAAAAUAUAUAACAAUUUGUAUAUAACUGUGUAUAAACAUAUUACAUGUGUCACUUGUUUUAGUGAUAGAUGAAGUUCGUUUCAGGUCUGAUUUAUGAGGAAAUUACUUUUUUUUUUUUUUUUAUCUGAUUUCAGGUCACAUUCCAAAGAAUAAGACACAAGAAAAAGAAAAUGUAUAAUCCACCAAUUCUGAUUUAGUUCGGUCUUUUCAAAGUAUAUUCAGAUUUCAUAGCCAAUUCAUUUAAUGCCGUAUCUGAUUUCUGGUUCUUGUGAUAUGCUCUUACAAAAUUCAUCUAAAAUUCAGUGCUCUUACACAUUCUGGAAACACAAUUUAUACAAAAACUGAUUUCUCAGGAAAAAAAAGGAAAAUAAUGUUAUUUGCAUUGAAUGAACAAAUGAUUAGCAUAGUAGCAAAACUACUUAAAAUAAGAGAAAUUAGAAACCAAAAAGCAGCACAGCAUGAGUCUGGGCAUUGCAUGUUGGAUGAUCGAAACAGAGGUCUUGAGUGCGAAUCUAGAUCCUGAAAUACGCAGGCCUGCAAAAAGUCAUUCGAAGAAGUGUGCAAAACUCCCAUCAUUCAGCUUUCUUUCUGCUUCCCGCUCAGCAGGAUUACUAUGUACUGAGACAGAUAGGAAACUUAUCCCGGUGAGUUUUUAUUCCGGGAUGUCAAGGGCACAAUGCGCAGCUUAGUGAAUCUCCAUCAUCUUUGCCACAGGUGUAAGUUAUGAAGAUAGUUGCUAGAUGGAGGAUUUUCACACUAGUGAUUAAGCAUCUGUUUCAAGCCAGAAUCAUCAUUAAAUCACAGAUUUGCUUUACAAGCAAUAACUAGAGGGAUUUCAUAUUACAAGUAGAGUCUUUAUAACCUACUGAAUCGCUUAUUUGCGAAGACAGAAGAAAAGGAGAGCUCACGUUUUGUUUUUACUGCACAAAUACUGCAUAUGGAAUCUGAGUGAGAAGUUACUCCCUAAAAAUUUCAAAAGUGUUUUUGAGAGGUACCUUUGCGCGAAUCUUCUGGCAACAGACCCAAAGAAGUCAUCCAAUAAGUAGAAAUUCUUCUAUGGAAGGCCACACACAUUAAUAGCAGUUCUUUCAAGGCGAAUUAUGCCAAGCCAAUCAAGGAAUUGCUGCCAUGGCAUGUAGUUGUGGUUUCUUAAUGUGUUCGAGUAACUUCUGCACAAGGAAUCAAAUUAAUCUUUAAAUCCGUGAAAUUAAAAGGGAUGCAGAAUUACAAAACUAAUAAUAAGAACAAUAAUAAUAAGAUGGAUAGAAGCAUGACCUGCCAAUGCAUGAUUUCGGCAAGCCUUUGCUUUGGUUCACCACUUCCCAAUGUAGUAAGAAUUUCAACAGCAUCCCAGAAUUUCAAUAGCAUCCCAAUGAUAACUCAUACUUGAUGAGCCUUGAUGGAGAAAUGAAAGUCCAGUUAAAAUUAUUCAAAAUGCAUAUCCACUCGCCAAGAACAUAUGCACCCAGAAAUCUCCUUAAAUAAAUAAGGUUUUAACAAGGUGAAUGCUUUGCUUUUUCUUUUUUUGGGAAGAACUUCAAAGUAAACAAAGGUAAGACUGUUGGGUUUUGAUGUUUACCUUGUGUGGGAGAAAUAUGAUGUUUACCCAGAAAUCACAUUUUUGUUUUCAGAAUAAAUGGUUUUUUCCACCUCUGCAUUUGACAUUGAAAAAACUUGAAUAAAUACCAAAUAAUUAAGAAAUGCUGCUGAUUUAAUUUACAAAGGAAUGGUGCAUGUGAAGAGAAAUUGACAUAUGACAAUCACAUUCAGCACAAUCAAUUCUCAUCCUAAUUUAGAAGACUAAUCAAACUAACUGCAGCAAUAACAUCUUUUCCACGAAGUCUACUAACUUCUGCACAUAGAGUCAAAAUUAAUCCGUUAUAUCCAUGAAAAGAAUGAAGGCAGAAUUACAUUAAAAAAUGAAUAAAAAUGAUGGUUAAAAGAAUGACCUGCCAAUGCAUUUAAAAUCUCUUUGAAUUUGUUUCCCACAUCCCAAUUUAUUAGAAUUUCAGGUGAGUAAAAAAAGAAAAAAAUGAUUCCUCUAGCUUGAUGAGCCUGUAUAUGUGGGAAAAAAGUGUUAAAAUAUUAUCAUAAAGCAAACAAAUUCUCAAUUACACAAAAAAUAAAAGAAAGAAAAGGUACGCUGUAUAUUGAUCUUGAUUGUAAAGAAAUAAUGACAAAAGGAUACUUACAACUCAAAGGUAAUACACUGCUCAUUUUGGAAGAAACACAUCCAACACUUCAAAACUUAUCCUUCAUUGAUCUGUGUAAAUAGAAUCAUAGAGUGAAGAUUUUCUCAUGUAAGUUUAGUUUGCAAAUUGGAGAGAAAAAGGACCAACUUACCGAAGCUUCAUCAUCCAGUAGAUAGCGGCCCUCUCUUUGAAUUCUUUGGUUAUCAACUUCAAUAUUUGGGAUGUGAGAAAUGAAAGCCCAAUCCGCACCCUUUCUAUUUCCACAUCUUUCCUUCAAUUGGGGACAGUCAUCGAUAUCCAAUUCUCGUAACGAGGUGAGGGAACGCAUCUCUUGAGGCAGACACUUUAUUGCCGGACAAAUCUCAAUGGUUAGUCUUUGAAGACAAGUGAGAUUCCGCAGUCCAUCUGGAGGUAGAGAUUCGAGCUCUUUAAUGUCCCUAAUCCAAAGGUUCUUCAAUUUAGAGAGAGGAGGAAUGAUUGAGGAAGAAGAAGAGAUUGAUGGUGUGAAUAUUUGGUGCACAAGUUGUGGGCUUGCGUGCAGCAAAUGUAGUGAAUCAUCGAGAGAUGGAAACUGAGGGAUGGACUUCAAAUUAGGGCAGUCCUCACAAACGAAAUAUGAAAGACAAGGAAAUUGGAGUAGCUCAAGAGCUGUCGAAUCAUCCUCCUUCUUCUUCUGCCAUCCUUUAAGCUUAGGACAACCAUAUAGCACGAGAGUCUUUAGGGAUGGAAAGAAUGAUGUUGGUUGUCCCUCAAUCUCCAUGUAUUCUAAAUCAUCUACUCCCCAAAUCUCUAGAUAUUGAAGAGAAGGGAUUUGAUCCAUUGGUGGGAGAUGCUGAUAUCUCUUGCAAUUCCAUAUACAGAGAUAGACAAGAUUCGUGAGGGAAGAGAACCAACUUGGGAACCUCCUGCCUCCAUAGCCAAACACAAGUAACUCUUUAAGAUUGGGAUGUGGUUGGAGAUUUUGGAAUGCCAUUUCAUCUCUAUCAACAUUUGAAUCUUCCCAACUCUCCUCCCAACGUAGUUUCAAUGAUUGAAGGAGUGGCUUCUCUUUCAAAUUAACAUUUACAAUCUCAUCAUCCACACAUCCCAGAUUUCUAAUUUCAAGACGUCCCCUCAAAUUGUUAAGCUUAUUCAAUUCAUUUAUUUUUCCAACAUCCUUUGAGGAAAUAUGCCCUUUUCCCACUACGAACAGUGACAACGUCUGAAGUGAAGUCAACUGCCCAAGCCCACGUGGCAUAUGAGUCAAAGAGUUACAACCUUCACAAUAUAAAUGCCUAAGAUUCACAAGCUUUUUAAUAUCUUUAGGCAAUUCUUUGAGCUCGUCACAAUAAGAGACAUCUAAUACUUGUAAAUUCAGCAAAUCCGUAAUAGAAUUUGAAAGUGCUUUAAGUUUCUCGUUAUCGGAAACGUCAAGAUAUCUUAGAUAUUUUAGCAUUUUUAUAGAAUUAUCCAUUAUUCUAUAUGAAUGCAUAGUAAAUACACGCAAAAAUUUUAAAUUUUUAUAAAUAAAUAGCUGAUCGACAUUAUGUUCCUCAGACAAAAGAAUCGAUCGUACUCUUUUUGCAUUGUUAAGAAUUUCUUGUGGUGCAACAACUAAAUUCAAUGCUACAUGAUGGGUUUUCUCAUCAAUAUUUGGUGCAUCAGAAUUUACUAGCUGAAUCCUCUUUCCACCCACUGUGGUUGCGAGAUCGUGCAUUAAAUCAUGCAUUUUACAGCUUUCUACAUUUCCACAUCUAUCUCUUUCCACCUCUUGAAAAAAUGACCUCCACCACAGUUUCAUAAAAUAUUCAAGCCCAAUAUCUUCAAGACAAUCACUCGUACUUGGUGAUUCAAUAAACCCUUGUGCAAUCCAAAGAUGGAUUAAUGUUUUCACAUCAAUCACAUAAUCUUUUGGAUAUAUUGCGCAAUAUGCAAAACAAUGCUUCAAAUGUGAUGGGAGAUGAUCAUAACUUAGCUUCAGUGUUGGCAUAAUAUCAUUACCAUCUUGACUUAUUCUUGAGAGUUCUUUUGUUAAAAAGGGCAACCACUCAGUUUCUGGAUUUUUCGCAUACAAGAGACUUGCUAUAGUUUUUAUUGCAAGUGGAACUCCAUGACAUUUCUUCAAAAUCUCCUUUCCCAUCUCUCUUACAUUUGCAUGUUUUGGCUCCUGCCCCUUAAGUGCUACAUGCAAAAACAAAGACCAAGACUCAUCCAGAGACAACCCUUCCAAAACAUGUGGUGCUGUUGUGCCAGAUAUAUCUGCCACCUUUUUAGAGCGAGUGGUUAUUAAUAUCUUACUUCCACUAGAGCCACCCACUAAUAAUCUCUUUAAAUUCUGCCAUUUUUCUCUAUUCUCAUUCCACACAUCAUCUAGAACAAGCAGAUAUUUCUUCCCACUAAUAAUUUUUUCCAGUCUAGACUUCAAUGCUUCUAACCCAAGAUCUUCCGAUUUAUUCCCUGUUGCAGACUCUAGAAUCUUUCCAACAGUCAUUUUCACAUCAAAAGGUUCUGAAACACACACCCAUAUUCUUGGCUCAAAUGAAUUCUUAAUCAUUUCAUCAUUCAAUAUGAUUUGAGCAAGAGUGGUCUUCCCUAAUCCUCCAAUUCCAACAAUUGAGAGGACUGAAACACACUCUUCACCAUUGGAAGACAAUACAAGUUGUGUAAUUGCCUUUUUGUCACCCUCUCUCCCAAUAACCACUUCAGGUAAAGAGGACGUAGUUUGAUCCCUCCAUACAAUACUCUCCUGAUCAGUACGAACCUCUAAAUUAAAUUUUCUGUCAGCUUCAAUAUCAGCUAGCCUCUCCCUAAUCGCCUUAACUUUAUGACCCAUUUUAAAACCAUAAACAAGUUUAUUUGAAGACGAAAAGAAGAGACUUACCUCCUUUGUCAUUCUAUUUCCAGUCAUCACUCGGCGCCUUAGGGCUUCUGUGGCGAAGUCAUCUACCAAAUCAUCAGCAUCAUAAACCACUUCUUCUAGCCUCUCAAGCCAGCAUUUCACUUGACGGUUAAGUUUCUGCUGCUCCUCAGCAUCCAGAAGAACGUUGCGAAUACUAGAAACUGUGGCCUCAAGUUUCUUAAGCUCACCUUUGACGCCCCACCACAAUCCGAUCUCAUGAAGGGCUCGAGAACCCAGCUUGGUAAUGAUAUCUCCGACAACGUUAGAGAGAACUCCGUCGGNNNNNNNNNNNNNNNNNNNNNNNNNNNNNNNNNNNNNNNNNNNNNNNNNUUUAAAUAAAAAAAAAAAAAAAGAAGUGGAGGAAAAAGCGGUCCGUUAACUUUGGACGGCGCUGGUUUGCUUUAAUUUAAAAAGUAAAAUAUAUUAAUAAAUUUAUAUAUAGAAUGAAAGUUAGUUAUUUUUUAUAAAAUAAUUUUAUUUUUUAUUAAAUAAAUUUUAUGAGUGAUUUAAAUCGUUAAAAAAUAUAAAAUAUAUUUUUGAUGUUACUAAAAUUUUGUUAUUGAAAUGAAAGUAUUUUUAUAUAUUUUGUGAUGAUGUAUAAAGUUACAUUAGGUAUAAUAUGAUGUAUAGUAAAUUUAUUAUGAGUUUUAAUGACUUUAAAUCGAUUUAAAUUUUAAUAUUGAUAGCGGUUCAAUUUCUGAAUUAUUAUCGAAAUGUAUAGCAGGAGCUCAAGAGUAUCCUGUUGCAUAUUAUAGAUCCAUCGAUAUAAAAAAUAUGGCAUAUGCACACAUUCAGGAUUUAGAGAUUCCUUCAGCUAGUGGCAGAUAUUGUUUAAUUAAAAGAGAUGUCCACUUCUCUGAGGUUUUGAAGAUUGUGUCAGCAACAUUAUCCUACAUUGCACCUUCCAAAAAACUAUGGUUUUUUUUAUAUUUUUGCAUGCUCAUGUUGGACCAGCUAUAUGAAUGGCUAAGAUAUAUAAUUAUUUGGAUAACUGAGAAAUAGUUAUUUUGAAUGAUUAAUUUGAUCAUGGAAUAUAAUCUGAGUUGCAGAUGUGGCUCUGAAUUGAAUUACUUAACAAAGUAUGAGGUAUCAAAGAAAAAAGCGAAAACUUUGGAUAUUGAUUUCAUUCCUUUGGAGGUUAGUUGAAGGACACUAUUGAAAGCUUGAAGGAGAAGAGCCUCCUCAGCAUUUGAUUUUGGCUGUCGGAUAAAAAGCAAUGCAAAUAUUACAUUGGCCUUUCAGGUUCAUUGGCUUUAGCUUUCUAUUGGUGUAAGGUAUUAUUGCCCUUCAGAAUUGUCUUUAUUUAAAAAAAGUGAACCCAUACAAUUUGUAAAAUAUAUUAAAAUUUGUAUACAGCUGUAUAUAAACAUAUUACAUGUGUCGCUUGUUUCUGGUAGAUAAAGUUCAUUUCAGGUCUGAUUUCUGAGGAAGUUGCUCUUUUUUUUUAUCUGAUUUCAAGUCUCAUUCCAAAGAAGAAGACACAAGAAAAAGAAAAUGUGUAAUCCACCAAUUCAGAUUUAGUUCAGUCUUUUCAAAGUAUAUUCAGAUUUCAUAGCCAAUUCAUUUAAUGCUGUAUCUGAUUUCUGGUUCUUGUGAUACGCUCUUACAAAAUUCAUUUAAAAUUCAGUACUCUUACACAUUUUGGAAACACAAUUUAUACAAAAACUGAUUUCUCAGGAAAAAAAAGGAAAAUAAUGUUAUUUGCAUUGAAUGAACAAAUGAUUAGCAUAGUAGCAAAACUACUUAAAAUAAGAGAAAUUAGAAACCAAAAAGCAGCACAGCAUGAGUCUGGGCAUUGCAUGUUGGAUGAUCGAAACAGAGGUCUUGAGUGCGAAUCUAGAUCCUGAAAUACGCAGGCCUGCAAAAAGUCAUUCGAAGAAGUGUGCAAAACUCCCAUCAUUCAGCUUUCUUUCUGCUUCCCGCUCAGCAGGAUUACUAUGUACUGAGACAGAUAGGAAACUUAUCCCGGUGAGUUUUUAUUCCGGGAUGUCAAGGGCACAAUGCGCAGCUUAGUGAAUCUCCAUCAUCUUUGCCACAGGUGUAAGUUAUGAAGAUAGUUGCUAGAUGGAGGAUUUUCACACUAGUGAUUAAGCAUCUGUUUCAAGCCAGAAUCAUCAUUAAAUCACAGAUUUGCUUUACAAGCAAUAACUAGAGGGAUUUCAUAUUACAAGUAGAGUCUUUAUAACCUACUGAAUCGCUUAUUUACGAAGACAGAAGAAUAGGAGAGCUCACGUUUUGUUUUUACUGCACAAAUACUGCAUAUGGAAUCUGAGUGAGAAGUUACUCCCUAAAAAUUUCAAAAGUGUUUUUGAGAGGUACCUUUGAGCGAAUCUUCUGGCAACAGACUCAAAGAAGUCAUCCAAUAAGUAGAAAUUCUUCUAUGGAAGGCCACACACAUUAAUAGCAGUUCUUUCAAGGCGAAUUAUGCCAAGCCAAUCAAGGAAUUGCUGCCAUGGCAUGUAGUUGUGGUUUCUUAAUGUGUUCGAGUAACUUCUGCACAAGGAAUCAAAUUAAUCUUUAAAUCCGUGAAAUUAAAAGGGAUGCAGAAUUACAAAACUAAUAAUAAGAACAAUAAUAAUAAGAUGGAUAGAAGCAUGACCUGCCAAUGCAUGAUUUCGGCAAGCCUUUGCUUUGGUUCACCACUUCCCAAUGUAGUAAGAAUUUCAACAGCAUCCCAGAAUUUCAAUAGCAUCCCAAUGAUAACUCAUACUUGAUGAGCCUUGAUGGAGAAAUGAAAGUCCAGUUAAAAUUAUUCAAAAUGCAUAUCCACUCGCCAAGAACAUAUGCACCCAGAAAUCUCCUUAAAUAAAUAAGGUUUUAACAAGGUGAAUGCUUUGCUUUUUCUUUUUUUGGGAAGAACUUCAAAGUAAACAAAGGUAAGACUAUUGGGUUUUGAUGUUUACCUUGUGUGGGAGAAAUGUGAUGUUUACCCAGAAAUCACAUUUUGUUUUCAGAAUAAAUGGUUUUUUCCACCUCUGCAUUUGACAUUGAAAAAACUUGAAUAAAUACCAAAUAAUUAAGAUAUGCUGCUGAUUUAAUUUACAAAGGAAUGGCGCAUGUGAAGAGAAAUUGACAUAUGACAAUCACCUUCAGCACAAUCAAUUCUCAUCCUAAUUUAGAAGACUAAUCAAACUAAUUGCAGCAAUAACAUCUUUUCCACGAAGUCUACUAACUUCUGCACAUAGAGUCAAAAUUAAUCCGUUAUAUCCAUGAAAAGAAUGAAGGCAGAAUUACAUUAAAAAAUGAAUAAAAAUGACGGUUAAAAGAAAGACCUGCCAAUGCAUUUAAAAUCUCUUUGAAUUUGUUUCCCACAUCCCAAUUUAUUAGAAUUUCAGGUGAGUAAAAAACAAAUAAAUGAUUCCUCUAGCUUGAUGAGCCUGUACAUGUGGGAAAAAAGUGUUAAAAUAUUAUCAUAAAGCAAAUAAAUUCUCAAUUAUACAAAAAAUAAAAGAAAGAAAAGGUACUCUGUAUAUUGAUCUUGAUUGUAAAGAAAUAAUGACAAAAGGUACUCUGUAUAUUGAUCUUGAUUGUAAAGAAAUAAUGACAAAAGGAUACUUACGAACUCAAAGGUAAUACACUGCUCAUUUUGGAAGAAACACAUCCAACACUUCAAAACUUAUCCUUCAUUGAUCUGUGUAAAUAGAAUCAUAGAGUGAAGAUUUUCUCAUGUAAGUUUAAUUUGCAAAUUGGAGAGAAAAAGGACCAACUUACCGAAGCUUCAUCAUCCAGUAGAUAGCGGCCCUCUCUUUGAAUUCUUUGGUCAUCAACUUCAAUAUUUGGGAUGUGAGAAAUGAAAGCCCAAUCCGCACCCUUUCUAUUUCCACAUCUUUCCUUCAAUUGGGGACGGUCAUUGAUAUUCAAUUCUCGUAACGAGGUGAGGGAACGCAUCUCUUGAGGCAGACACUUUAUUGCCGGACAAAUCUGAAUGGUUAGUCUUUGAAGACAAGUGAGAUUCCACAGUCCAUCUGGAGGUAGAGAUUCCAGCUCUUCAAUGUCCGUAAUCUGAAGGAUCUUCAAUUUAGAGAGAGGAGGAAUGAUUGAGGAAGAAGAAGAGAUUGAUGGUGUGAAUAUUUGGUGCACAAGUUGUGGGCUUGCGCAGUGCAAAUAUAGUGAAUGAUCGAGAGAUGGAAACUGAGGGAUGGAGUUCAAAUUAGGGCAGUCCCUACAAACGAAAUACGAAAGACAAGGAAAUUGGAGUAGCUCAAGAGCUGUCGAAUCAUCCUUCUUCUUCUGCAAUCCUUUAAGCUUAGGACAACCAUAUAGCACGAGAACCCUUAGGGAUGGAAAGAAUGAUGUUGCUUGUCCCUCAAUCUCAAUGUACUCUAAAUCAUCUACUUCACGAAUAUGUAGAUAUUGAAGAGAAGGGAUUUGAUCCAUUGGUGGGAGAUGCUGAUAUCUAUUGCAAUUCCGUAUACAGAGAUAGACAAGAUUCGUGAGGGAAGAGAACCAACUUGGGAACCUCCUGCCUCCAUUGCCAAGCACACGUAACUCUUUAAGAUUGGGAUGCGGUUGGAGAUUUUGGAAUGCCAUUUCAUCUCUAUCAACAUUUGAAUCUUCCCAACUCUCCUCGCAACGUAAUUCCAAUGAUUGAAGGACUGGUUUCUCUUUCAUAUUAACAUUUACAAUCUCAUUAUCCACACAACCCAGAUUUAUAAUUUCAAGACGUCCCCUCAAAUUCUUAAGCUUAUUCAGUUCAUUUAUUUUUUCAACAUCCUUUGAGGAAAUAUGCCCUUUUGCCACUACGAACAGCGACAACGUCUGAAGUGAAGUCAACUGCCCAAGCCCACGUGGCAUAUGAGUCAAAGAGUAACAACCUUCACAAUAUAAAUGCCUAAGAUUUACAAGCUUUUUAAUAUCUUUAGGCAAUUCUUUGAGCUGGACACAGUAAGAGACAUCUAAUACUUGUAAAUUCAGCAAAUCGGUAAUAGAAUGUGAAAGUGCUUUAAGUCCCUUGUUAUCGGAACGUCAAGAUAUCUUAUAUAUUUUAGCAUUUUUAAAGAAUUAUCCAUCGUUGUAUAUGAAUGCAUCAUAAAUACACGUAAAAAUUUUAAAUUUUUAUAAAUAAAUAGUUGAUCGCAAUCAUAUUUCUCAAGCAAAAGAAGCGAUCGUACUCUUUUUGCGUUAUUAAGAAUUUCUUUUGAUGCAACAUCCAAAUUCAAUGCUACAUGAUGGAUUUUCUCAUUAAUAUUUAGUAUAUCAGAAUUUACUAGCUGAAUCCUCUUCCCACCCACUGUGGUUGCGAGAUCGUGCAUUAAAUCAUGCAUUUUACAGCUCUCUACAUUUCCAUAUCUAUCUCUUUCCACUUCUUGAAAAAAUGACCUCCACCACAGUUUCAUAAAAUAUUCAAGCCUAAUAUCUUCAAGAUAAUCACUCGUACUUGGUGACUCAAUAAACCCUUGUGCAAUCCAAAGAUGGAUUAAUCUUUUCACAUCAAUCACAUAAUCUUUUGGAUAUAUUGCGCAAUAUGCAAAACAAUGCUUCAAAUGUGAUGGGAGAUGAUCAUAACUUAGCUUCAGUGUUGGCAUAAUAUCAUUACCAUCUUGACUUAUUCUUGAGAGUUCUUUUGUUAAAAAGGGCAGCCACUCAGUUUCUGGAUUUUUCGCAUACAAGAGACUUGCGAUGGUUUUUAUUGCAAGAGGAACUCUAUGACAUUUCUUCAAAAUCUCCUUUCCCAUCUCUCUUACAUUUGCAUGUUUUGGCUCCUGCCCCUCAAGUGCUACAUGCAAAAACAAAGACCAAGACUCAUCCGGAGACAACCCUUCCAAAACAUGUGGUGCCAUUGUGCUAGAUAUAUCUGCCACCUUUUUAGAGCGAGUGGUUAUUAAUAUCUUACUUCCACUAGAGCCACCCACUAAUAAUCUCUUUAAAUUCUCCCAUUUUUCUCUAUUCUCAUUCCACACAUCAUCUAGAACAAGCAGAUAUUUCUUCCCACUAAUAAUUUUUUCCAGUCUAGACUUCAAUGCUUCUAACCCAAGAUCUUCCGGUCUAUUCCCUGUUGCAGACUCUAGAAUCUUUCCAACAGUCAUUUUCACAUCAAAAGGUUCUGAAACACACACCCAUAUUCUUGGCUCAAAUGAAUUCUUAAUCAAUUCAUCAUUGAAUAUGAUUUGAGCAAGAGUGGUCUUCCCUAAUCCUCCAAUUCCAACAAUUGAGAGGACUGAAACACACUCUUCACCAUUGGAAGACAAUACAAGUUCUGUAAUUGCCUUUUUGUCACCCUCUCUCCCAAUAACCACUUCAGGUAAAGAGGACGUAGUUUGAUCCCUCCAUACAAUACUCUCCUGAUCCGUACGAAACUCUAAAUUAAAUUUUCUGUCAGCUUCAAUAUCAGCUAGCCUCUCCCUAAUCUCCUUAACUUUAUGACCCAUUUUAAAACCAUAAACAAGUUGAUUUGAAGACGAAAAGAAGAGACUUACCUCCUUUGUCAUUCUAUUUCCAGUCAUCACUCGGCGCCUUAGAGCUUCUGUGGCGAAGUCAUCUACCAAGUCAUCAGCAUCAUAAACAACUUCUUCUAGCCUCUCAAGCCAGCCUUUCACUUGACGGUUAAGUUUCUGCUGCUCCUCAGCAUCCAGAAGAACGUUGCGAAUACUAGAAACUGUGGCCUCAAGUUUCUUAAGCUCACCUUUGACGCCCCACCACAAUCCGAUCUCAUGAAGGGCUCGAGAACCCAGCUUGGUAAUGAUAUCUCCGACAACGUUAGAGAGAACUCCGUCGGCCAUUUUGGGCGUUUUGGUUUGAUUGUAAAAGGAUGAAAUGUUGCUGUGAAGAAGAAGACGGUGACAACAAAUGACUGAUUUAAAGAAAAAAAAAGAAGUGGAGGAAAAAGCAUUCUUCUAAAUGAUUAUCUUCGGUCGGUCAACUUUGAACGGCGCUGGUUUGCUUUUUAAAUAAUAUAUUAAUACAUUUAUAUAUAUACAGAUGGAAAGAAAGUUAUUUUUUAAAAAAUAAUUUUAUUUUUUAUUAGAAAUGCAUUUUUUUUAAUUAAAUUUGAUGAGUGAUUCAAAUAUUAAAAAAUAUAAAAUAUAUAUAUACAGAUGGAAAGAAAGUUAUUUUUUAAAAAAUAAUUUAAUUUUUAAUAGAAAUGUAUUUUUUUUAAUUAAAUUUGAUGAGUGAUUCAAUUAUUAAAAAAUAUAAAAUAUAUUUUCGAUAUUGCUGAGAUUAAAUUGAUGUUGUAGUCGGAAUGAAACUGUACUAUAAUUGGUUAGAAUUUAUAAGAGAGGAAAUAUGAGAUAGUGGUGGGUACCUAUAGCAGCAAGGCAGUGAUGAGUACCUAUGACAGCUACUGUGACGCUAAAGUCAGUAUUUUGAAAAAUAGAAAAAAUUUAAUGAAUAACUUAGAGUUUGAGUAGUAUCAUAGAUAAUGUACCUUUAUCUUCGUAAUCGUUCUCCUUUUAUACUAUGAGAAAAUGUAUAUAAAUAUAUCAUGAAACAACAGGGCCUAAACUGGUCCAAAUAACUUUUGGACUCACUUUUCACUUGACCCAAAAUGGUUAAUUCAGGUUAUUUAGUAGUUUCGUGCUAGCUAUUAUAUACAAUUCCAAAAUCUCCCGAUGUGGGACAGCUUUCGCAGCGGAAGCGAACAGCUGACCAUUACACUCGAUCCCGCUAAAUUUGCGACGUCCUCGUCGCAGUUGAAUUGGAUACAAUUGCUAAUUAGGACCGAACCCUUAGGUAUUGUGGUUCGCUAGUACGUCGGGCGGCUCCACCUCGUCUCACACGGGUAGCUCUUUCCUUACAGGCUCACUAGCUCUACAUAAUUUGUUUGAUCUAGAGUGGCUCUAAUACCAAUUGAAACAGUCAGGUCCAAACUUGCUCAAAUAACUUUUGGACCCACUUUCUACUUUGCCCAAAAUAGUUAAUCUAAGUUAUUUAGUAGUUUUGUGCUACCUAUUAUAUACAAUUCCGAUUUUCUAUAAUCUCCCGGUGUGGGACGGCUUCCGCAGUGGAAGCAGGUAGCUGACCGUUGCACUUGGUCCCGCUAAAUUUGCGACGUCCUCGUCGCAACUGAAUCGGAUACAAUUGCUAACCAGGAUCGAACCCUUAGGUAUUGUAGUUCGCUAGUACCUCGAGCGGCUCCACCUCGUCUCACACGGGUAGCCCUUUCCUCGUAGGCCCACUAGCACAAUUUGUAUCUAGGGUGGCUCUAAUACCAAUUGAAACAGUCGGGUCCAAACUGGCCCAAAUAACUUUUGGACCCACUUUCCACUUGUCCCAAAAUGGUUAACUCAAGUUAUUUAAUAGUUUCGUGCUAACUAUUAUAUACAAUUUCGAUUUUCUAUAAUCUCCCAAUGUGGGACAGCUUCCGCAGCGGAAACAGGUAGCUGAUCGUUAUAAUCGGUCUCGCUAAAUUUGCGAUGUCCUCGUCGCAACUGAAUUUGAUACAAUUGCUAACCAAGACCGAACCUUUAGGUACUGUGGUUCGCUAGUACCUCUGGCGGCUCCACCUCAUCUAACACGGGUAGCUCUUUCCUCGCAGGCCCACUAGCUCUGCACAAUUUGUCUAACUCAGGGUGGCUCUGAUACCAAUUAAAAUAGUCGGGCCUAACCUGCCCCCAAAGGUUUGACUUUUGAAUCUGUGAGCGGACUUUAGGCCGUCGAACCUGCUGCCGAAAGUGCCCUGUCCAGCCUUUUUCAGCUUGCUUCCUACGUGUGUUCUUCUAUGUUCUUAGGGGGUAGUUUUAAGUGUUGUAAAAGUUAUAUUUGGUUCCUCAUUUAAGUCCAUCUGUGUAGGAUCGGACUUGGAAGAUCGUAGAAACUUGCAGUAAGAUAACUGUAUCAAAAUUAGGCGUGCGUCAGCCAGAGGUGAGUAGAACUAAACUCAAUUAUUAUUUUAAAAAAACCAAAUGUUUUAAGCAUACUUAUGCAUCACAAAUGCUAUGUAUAUAUAUGAUUAUGGUGCUUUGCAUUAGAAUUCACGAAUAUAAUGCAUUGCAUAAUUUAUUAUUGUUGUUGAUGUAUGUUAGAUGACCUUCUAGCCCUCAAGUAUGUUAUGGUAUGUUAUGACGGAUAUGGAAAGAGCAGGACUUGCUCAUUCUACGCCCUUGGCACUGUGUAAGGGAAAGACCAGGGUUACACAUUUUAUAUCCGUGGCACUAUGGAUAUGUUAUUUUAUGUUUAAGAGGAAAUUCUGAAAAGCGCUUGUCGUGGGCUGGGCACUAUUGGAAUCUAUAGAGAGUCACUGGUGACAAGUCUAUCUUGAUAUGAAUUGUUUGUGUUGUGACACAUUUAUACGAUCAUAUGUCUUAUUAAACUGCUUUUGUUAUGUUUCUGCUCACUAGCCUCUUAUAGUUUAUCCCUUUUCCCUAACUCCAGAUUUGCAGGAUCAGAAUUAGCUCGAGAGGUGGGCCGAGGUGUUGGUAUAGUCCAUUGUAAUAACAUAGUUGUGGACAUGUAUUAAUUUGUGAAUUUGAAUUGUGUUUUGCGUGAGUUUUCUUUAUAAUCCUUAUUUUAUGAUUUUUUUAUGUAAAAGAUUUUAAGUCUAAAUUAUGUUUGAACUAAGCUUGAGGUGUGUAAUAUUGACUAUACUAAAACAUUUGAUGAGAGCUCUAGUAUGAAUUUAUGUUUCCAGUUCUGAUACAUGCGCAGGUCAAGUUUUUGUUAUUGAAAUAGAAGUGUUUUUACAUGUUUGUGUGAUUAUGUAUGGAUCUAUAUCAAAUGUAACAGGAUGUAUAGUAAAUUUGCUAUGAGUUCCGGCAACCUUAGAUUGAUCUGAACCGUAGUGCCGAUAGCGGUCUGAGUUGCAGAUGUGGCUCCGAAUUGAAUUAUUUAACAAAGUAUGGGGUAUCAAAGGAAAAAAGUGAAAACUUUGGGUAUUGACUUCAUUCCUUUGGAGGUUAGUCUGAAGGACACUAUUGAAAGCUUGAAGGAUAAGGGCUUCCUCAGCAUUUAAUAUUGGCUGUUGGAUAAAAAGCAAUGCAAAUAUUACAUUGGCUUUUCAGGUUCAUUGGCUUUAGCUUCCUAUUGGUGCAAGAUAUUAUUACCCUUCAGGAUUGUCUUUAUUUGAAAAAAGUGGACCAAUACAAUUUGUAAAAUACAUAACAAUUUGUAUACAACUGUAUAUAAACAUAUUACAUGUGUCACUUGUUUCACUGGUGGAUGAAGUUCAUUUCAGGUCUGAUUUCUGAGGAAGUUACUCUUUUUUUUAUCUGAUUUCAGGUCUCAUUCCAAAGAAUAAGACACAAGAAAAAGAAAAUGUGUAAUCCACCAAUUCAGAUUUAGUUCAGUCUUUUCAAAGUAUAUUCAGAUUUCAUAGCCAACUCAUUUUAUGCUGUAUCUGAUUUCUGGUUCUUGUGAUAUGCUCUUACAAAAUUCAUCUAAAAUUCAGUGCUCUUACACAUUCUGGAAACAACAAUUUAUACAAAAACUGAUUUCUCAGGGAAAAAAAGGAAAAUAAUGUUAUUUGCAUUGAAUGAACAAAUGAUUAGCAUAGUAGCAAAACUACUUAAAAUAAGAGAAAUUAGAAACAAAAAAGCAGCACAGCAUGAGUCUGGGCAUUGCAUGUUGGAUGAUCGAAACAGAGGUGUUGAGUGAGAAUCUAGAUCCUGAAAUACGCGGGCCUGCAAAAAGUCAUUCGAAGAAGUGUGCAAAACUCCCAUCAUUCAGCUUUCAUUUCUGCUUCCGGCUUAGCAGGAUUACUAUGUACUGAGUUGUUUUCUGAACUGUGACAGAUAGGAAACUUAUCCCGGUGAGAUUUUAUUCCGGAAUGUCAAGGGCACAAUGCGUAGCUUAGUGAAUCUCCAUCAUCUUUGCCGCAGGUGUAAGUUAUGAAGAUAAUUGCUAGAUGGAGGAUUUUCACACUAGUAAUUUAGCAUCUGUUUCAAGCCAGAAUCAUCAUUAAAUCACAGAUUUGCUUUACAAGCAAUAACUAGGGGGAUUUCAUAUUACAAGUAGUCUUUAUAACUUACUGAAUCGCUUAUUUUUGAAGACAGAGGAUGAGGAGAGCUCACGUUUUGUUUUUACUGCACAAAUACUGCAUAUGGAAUCUGAGUGAGGAGUUACUCUCUAAAAAUUUCAAAAGUGUUUUUGAGAGGUACCUUUGCGUGAAUCUUCUGGCAACAGACUCAAAGUAGUCAUCCAAUAAGUAGAAAUUCUUCUAUGGAAGGCCACACACAUUAAUAGCAGUUCUUUCAAGGCGAAUUAUGCCAAGCCAAUCAAGGAAUUGCUGCCAUGGCAUGUAGUUGUGGUUUCUUAAUGUGUUCGAGUAACUUCUGCACAAGGAAUCAAAUUAAUCUUUAAAUCCGUGAAAUUAAAAGGGAUGCAGAAUUACAAAACUAAUAAUAAUAACAAUAAUAAUAAGAUGGAUAGAAGCAUGACCUGCCAAUGCAUGAUUUCGGCAAGCCUUUGCAUUGGUUCACCACUUCCCAAUGUAGUAAGAAUUUCAACAGCAUCCCAGAAUUUCAAUAGCAUCCCAAUGAUAACUCAUACUUGAUGAGCCUUGAUGGAGAAAUGAAAGUCCAGUUAAAAUUAUUCAAAAUGCAUAUCCACUCGCCAAGAACAUAUGCACCCAGAAAUCUCCUUAAAUAAAUAAGGUUUUAACAAGGUGAAUGCUUUGCUUUUUCUUUUUUUGGGAAGAACUUCAAAGUUAACAAAGGUAAGACUAUUGAGUUUUGAUGUUUACCUUGUGUGGGAGAAAUAUGAUGUUUACCCAGAAAUCACAUUUUGUUUUCAGAAUAAAUGGUUUUUUCCACCUCUGCAUUUGACAUUGAAAAAACUUAAAUAAAUACCAAACAAUUAAGAUAUGCUGCUGAUUUAAUUUACAAAGGAAUGGUGCAUGUGAAGAGAAAUUGACAUAUGACAAUCACCUUCAGCACAAUCAAUUCUCAUCCUAAUUUAGAAGACUAAUCAAACUAAUUGCAACAAUAACAUCUUCUCCACGACGUCUACUACCUUCCGCACAUAGAGUCAAAAUUAAUCCGUUAUAUCCAUGAAAAGAAUGAAGGCAGAAUUACAUUAAAAAAUGAAUAAAAAUGAUGGCUAAAAGAAAGACCUGCCAAUGCAUUUAAGAUCUCUUUGAAUUUGUUUCCCACAUCCCAAUUUAUUAGAAUUUCAGGUGACUAAAAAACAAAUAAAUGAUUCCUCUAGCUUGAUGAGCCUGCAUAUGUGGGAAAAAAGUGUUAAAAUAUUAUCAUAAAGCAAAUAAAUUCUCAAUUAUAAAAAAAAAAAUAAAAGAAAAAAAAAGGUACUCUGUAUAUUGAUAUUGAUUGUAAAGAAAUAAUGACAAAAGGAUACUUACGACUCAAAGGUAAUACACUGCUCAUUUUGGAAGAAACACAUCCAACACUUCAAAACUUAUCCUUCAUUGAUCUGUGUAAAUAGAAUCAUAGAGUGAAGAUUUUCUCAUGUAAGUUUAAUUUGCAAAUUGGAGAGAAAAAGGACCAACUUACCGAAGCUUCAUCAUCCAGUAGAUAGCGGCCCUCUCUUUGAAUUCUUUGGUCAUCAACUUCAAUAUUUGGGAUGUGAGAAAUGAAAGCCCAAUCCGCACCCUCUCUAUUUCCACAUCUUUCCUUCAAUUGGGGACAGUCAUUGAUAUUCAAUUCUCGUAACGAGGUGAGGGAACGCAUCUCUUGAGGCAGACACUUUAUUGCCGGACAAAUGUCAAUGGUUAGUCUUUGAAGACAAGCGAGAUUCCGCAGUCCAUCUGGAGGUAGAGAUUCGAGCUCUUAAAUAUUUUAACAUUUUUAUAGAAUUAUCCAUCGUUCUUCUAUAUGAAUAUAUAGUAAAUACACGCAAAAAUUUUAAAUUUUUAUAAAUAAAUAGCUGAUUGACAUCAUGUUUCUUAAACAAAAGAAUCGAUCGUACUCUUUUAGCAUUGUUAAGAAUUUCUUGUGGUGCAACAUCUAAAUUCAAUGCUACAUGAUGGGUUUUCUCAUCAAUAUUUGGUGUAUUAAAAUUUACUAGCUGAAUCCUCUUCUCAUCCACUCUAGUUGCGAGAUUGUGCAUUAAAUCAUGCAUUUUACAGCUUUCGACAUUUCCACAUCUAUCUCUUUUCACCUCUUGAAAAAAUGACCUCCACCACAGUUUCAUAAAAUAUUCAAGCCCAAUAUCUUCAAGACAAUCACUGGUACCUGGUGACUCAAUAAACCCUUGUGCAACCCAAAAAUGGAUUAAUGUUUUCACAUCAAUCACAUAAUCUUUUGGAUAUAUUGCGCAAUAUGCAAAACAAUGCUUCAAAUGUGAUGGGAGAUGAUCAUAGCUUAGUUUCAGUGUUGGCAUAAUAUCAUUACCAUCUUGACUUAUUCUUGAGAGUUCUUUUCUCAAAAAGGGCAGCCACUCAGUUUCUGGAUUUUUCGCAUACAAGAGACUUGCGAUAGUUUUUAUUGCAAGAGGAACUCCAUGACAUUUCUUCAGAAUCUCCUUUCCCUUCUCUCUUACAUUUGCAUGUUUUGGCUCCUGCCCCUCAAGUGCUACAUGCAAAAACAAAGACCAAGACUCCACCACAGAUAAGCCUUCCAAAACAUGUGGUGCUAUUGUGCCAGAUAUAUCUGCCACCUUUUUAGAGCGAGUGGUUAUUAAUAUCUUACUUCCACUAGAGCCACCCACUAAUAAUCUCUUUAAAUUCUGCCAUGUUUUUCUAUUCUCAUUCCACACAUCAUCUAGAACAAGCAGAUAUUUCUUCCCACAAAUAAUUUUUUCCAGUCUAGACUUCAAUGCUUCUAACUCAAGAUCUUCCGAUUUAUUCCCUGUUGCAGACUCUAGAAUCUUUCCAACAGUCAUUUUCACAUCAAAAGGUUCUGAAACACACACCCAUAUUCUUGGCUCAAAUGAAUUCUUAAUCAAUUCAUCAUUCAAUAUGAUUUGAGCAAGAGUGGUCUUCCCUAAUCCUCCAAUUCCAACAAUUGAGAGGACUGAAACACACUCUUCACCAUUGGAAGACAAUACAAGUUCUGUAAUUGCCUUUUUGUCACCCUCUCUCCCAAUAAUCACUUCAGGUAAAGAGGACGUAGUUUGAUCCCUCCAUACAAUACUCUCCUGAUCAGUACGAACCUCUAAAUUAAAUUUUCUGUCAGCUUCAAUAUCAGCUAGCCUCUCCCUAAUCGCCUUAACUUUAUGACCCAUUUUAAAACCAUAAACAAGUUGAUUUGAAGAUGAAAAGAAGAGACUUACCUCCUUUGUCAUUCUAUUUCCAGUCAUCACUCGGCGCCUUAGAGCUUCUGUGGCGAAGUCAUCUACCAAGUCAUCAGCAUCAUAAACAACUUCUUCUAGCCUCUCAAGCCAGCCUUUCACUUGACGGUUAAGUUUCUGCUGCUCCUCGGCAUCCAGAAGAACAUUGCGAAUACUAGAAACUGUGGCCUCAAGUUUCUUAAGCUCACCUUUGACGCCCCACCACAAUCCGAUCUCAUGAAGGGCUCGAGAACCCAGCUUGGUAAUGAUAUCUCCGACAACAUUAGAGAGAACUCCGUCGGCCAUUUUGGGUGUUUUGGUUUGAUUGUAAAAGCACGAAAUGUUGCUGUGAAGAAGAAGAUGGUGACAACAAAUGACUAAUUUAAAGAAAAAAAAAAGUGAAGGAAAAAGCAUUCUUCAUAAUUAUCUUCGGUCGGUCAGCUUUUGCGGGCGCUGGUUUGCUUUAAUUUAAAAAGUAAAAUAUAUUAAUAAAUUUAUAUAUAGAAUGAAAGUAAGUUAUUUUUUUUUAAAUAAUUUUAUUUUUUUUAUUAAAAAAAUAAUUUUUAUUAAAUAAAUUUUAUGAGUGAUUCAAAUAGUUAAAAAAUAUAAAAUAUGUUUUUGAUGUUACUGAAUUUUGGUUAUUGAAAGGAAAGUAUUUUUAUAUACUUGUGUGAUGAUGUGUAGAAUUAUAUUAGGUGUAACAUAACAUAUAAUAGAUUUGUUAUGAGUUUUAAGGAUUUUAAAUCGAUUUGAAUUCUAAUACUGUAGCGAUUCGAUUUCUGAAUCGUUACGGGAACAAUGAAUUGAUUUUAUUUUUUGGGUAGCAAAAGCUUAAGAGUAUUCUGUUGCAUAUUAUAGAUCCAUCGAUGUAAGAGAUGUUGCUUAUGCAUACAUUCAAGCUUUGGAGAUUCCUUCAGCUAGUGGCAGAUAUUGUUUCAUUAAAAGAGAUGUCCACUUCUCUGAGGUUCUGAAGAUUGUGUCAGCAACAUUAUCCUACAUUGCACCUUCCAAAAAAGUAUGGUUUUUUUUUUAUAUAUUUUUGCAUGCUCAUGUUGGACCAGCUAUAUAAAUGACUAAGAUUUAUAAUUAUUUGGAUAAUUGAGAAAUAGUUGUUUUGAAUGAUUAAUUUGAUCAUGGAAUAUAAUAUGAGUUGCAGAUGUGGCUCUGGAUUGAAUUACUUAACAAAGUAUGAGGUAUCAAAGGAAAAAGCGAAAACUUUGGAUAUUGACUUCAUUCCUUUGGAGGUUAGUUUCAAGGACACUAUUGAAAGCUUGAAAGAGAAGGGUUUCCUCAGCAUUUGAUUUUGGCUGUUGGAUAAAAAGCAAUGCAAAUAUUACAUUGGCCUUUCAGGUUCAUUGGUUUUAGCUUCCUAUUGGUGCAAGAUAUUAUUGCCCUUCAGGAUUGUCUUUAUUUGAAAAGAGUGGACCAAUACAAUUUAUAAAAUAUAUAACAAUUUGUACAGAACUGUGUAUAAACAUUUUACAUGUGUCACUUGUUUCACUGGUAGAUGAAGUUCAUUUCAGGUCUGAUUUAUGAGGAAGUUACAAUUUUUUUUUUUUUAUCUGAUUCCAUGUCUCAUUCCAAAGAAUAAGACACAAGAAAAAGAAAAUAUAUAAUCCACCAAUUCUGAUUUCGUUCAGUCUUUUUAAAGUAUAUUCAGAUUUCAUAGCCAAUUCAUUUUAUGUUGUAUCUGAUUCAGGGUAUUAAAUAACGGCCGUUACGUAACGUAACGGCCGUUAUGUAACGGUAUCAAGGGGGGUCGUUACCCGUUAGGCCGUUACCCAACGGCCCCCUUGAAUUGCAUCCGUUACGGCCGUUACGUAACGGUAACGGCCGUUACCGACAGUGAUGUAACGGUAACGGCCGUUACUUUAUCCCAACACAAACUUCAGAUUACAGAGAAUAUAUUCAAAAACCAGCUAUGCAUUGAAUUUGACCACUUUUGUCCCUCUUCUCCAGCAAGCACAGCAGACAACCUCAUUUUGCAACUAAAAUUUCCAACUUUCUUUUCCUUUUCUCUCAAAUAUCUCAAUCUCAAGCUUCUCUAAACAUUUCUCAUUUACAAUUACAAGCUUCAAUCUACCAUUAACUACUUCAUUUCAAGAUAAUUUCUUUUAAAAAGUGACUUAAUAUUUCUAUGUAUUUUUACUUUCAAAGUUGCUGUAUUUUUUUUUUUAAUUUUUGUAGAUUAAAUUUGUAGUUUUGAGUUAAAAAUAUAUUUUGAGCUAUUAAUUUGUCCGAUCUAUAAAAAUUGUAUGGUUUUUGUUAGUUUAGACUAUUUUUCAGAAAUCAUUAUGAAAUUAAACUAAUUUUAGUUGCUGUAUUUUUUUUGUUUCAUUUUUGUGGAUUAAAGUGUUAGAUUUGAGUUAAAUUAAUAGUGUAUUUUUACUUUCAGAAUUUUAGAGGAAUCAGAGCUGCUGUAUUUUUUUUUUUAACUUUUGUAGAUUAAAUUUGUAGUUUUGAGUUAAAAAUAUACUUUGAGGCUAUUAAUUUGUUAGAUCUAUAAAUUGUAUGGUUUUUGUUAGUUUAGUUUAGACUAUUUUUCAGAAAUUAUUAUGAAAUUAAAUUAUUUUUAGUUGCUGUAUUUAUUUUUUUUUAAUUUUUGUGGAUUAAAGUGUUAGUUUUGAGUUAAAUUAAUAGUGAUAGAAUAAGACUUGUAGUUUGACAAUUAAAAUUUCAUAUUUAUAUAAUUUGUGUUAAAUAGAAAUUAAUAUAUGUAGUUAGGUUAAAAUUAAAAUAUUAGUUAUGAAAAAAAUAUUCGCCUUCCAUGUAUUUGACAUUUGAUAUCUUUUAAAUUUUAUGAACAAUUAUUAAAUAUUUGUAUUAAAAUGCCUCAUGGAAGUGGUUCUGGUUCUACUCAAGGGGUGGUAAACUAAGUGAUGAUAUUGGGUGGAAGUUUGCAACACCUACAGGGAAAAAAAGGAGAACUGAUUUGUAAUUUAUGUGGGAGAAAAGUCACAGAUGGAAUAACAAGAUUGAAGUUGCACUUGGCUAACAUACCUGGUCAAAUUGCAGGUUGUGAGAAAGUUUCUUCCAAAGUUAAGAAGGAUAUGGCCGCUGUCCUGAAAGAAUACCAAUUAGCUAAAAAGGAUAAAGAAAAAAGAGAAAGAGAAUUAGAAGAAGAAAUUAUGAAUAUAAAUAGAAUCGAAGAUGAUGAAGAGGAGGAGGAGGAAGAGGAUAUCGAAAUGGAAAUAGCGAGACGGGCGAGCAUGAGACAGUUGGAAGAAGAUGAAUUUAAAAGGAGAACUGGAUCUAGAUUUGAUGUUGGUGGUAGUAGCAGACAAGUGUUGGGUCGUUCUGCUACUACACGUGAGGGAGGUAGAGAAACACAAAAAUAUGCAGAAGUAUCUACACCGGCAUCUCGGUUGGCUGCCACAGAAAUUGAGAUAGAGAGAAGCAGAGCUCAACAAAAGCAGCCAAAAUAAAAAACUAAAUGGUUGAAGACACAGAAGGAGAAAAUGUUGUAAGCAUUUGGAAAUUUUAUUAUACAUAAUAGGCUUUCCUUCAGUAUUGUUGAGUCACCGUGAACAAAGCCACUUUUAAGAACAGCAGCAGAAAUCGGGGCUAAUGUAUCUCCACCUACUGCUUAUGAAAUAGCAAAAAUUUAUCUAAAAAAUGAGUACAAUGAGAUGAAAAAAUAUAUAGCCUCAUUUGAUGGAAUAUGGAAGGAGAGGGGAGUUACUAUAAUGUGUGAUGGUUAGAGUGGGCCAACACGUAUGAGUAUAGUAAAUUUCCAUGUCUAUUCAAACAGAGGAACAGUGUUCCACAAGUCUAUUGAUGCAUCCAAUGUGGAAUAUAAAGAUGGAGAACACUAUUUUAAAAUUAUGAAAGAAGUAGUGGAAGAAAUAGGGCCUAAAAAAGUUGUCCAAGUGGUAAUGGACAACGAAGCUGCCAUUAAAUUAGGAGGGAAGAAACUGAAGGAGAAAUUCCCUAAUCUAUAUUGGACUGCUUAUAGUGCUCAUUGUAUUGAUUUGAUUUUGGAAGAUAUUGGAAAGAAGAAGAGUGUGAAAAAAAUAAUUGACCAAGCCAAGGUAAUUACUCAAUUUAUUUAUAAUCAUAAUUGGGUAGUCAAUUAUAUGAAGAAAUUCACGGACAAUAGAGAUAUUAUUCGACCUGGCAUCACUAGAUUUGCCACAAACUUUAUUGCUUUAGAGUCUAUUGUCCGUUAUAGGGUGAGGCUAAGGAAUAUGUUCGAAUCGGAGCAAUGGAUGAUGAGUAAAUAUGGACAAGCAACAAGUGGUCCAGCGCAUGAAGUCAAGAAAAUUGUGCUUGGCUUAGGCAGCGAAGGAAGAAACUUUUGGGAGAAGGCACAACAAAUAAUGAAAGUUCAAGAACCUCUCUUGAAGGUUUUAAGAUUAUUUGGUGGGGAUGACAAGCUAACAAUGAGAUUUAUAUAUGAGGCAAUGGAGCGAGCGAAGUUGGCUAUUCAAAAAAAUUCUAGAAGCUAUUUGGAAUAUUGGAGAAUAAUUGAUCAUAGAUAAAAUUUUCAAUUGCAUCAUGACUUACAUGCCGCUGGUAAGAACAUUGUAUUAUAAUUUGAUAGUUUAGAAAAUUAAAUUGUUAAAUUAAGAGAUAACUUAUUAUCUAUCUUCAUAUUUUAUUUUGCAGGAUAUUUUCUAAAUCCUUAAUAUCAAUAUGGCCCAUAUGAUAUUGGAAAUGAUAAUGAGAUCGUCUCAAAAAUGUGAUUCAACAUCUAGAGGGGGAUUUAGUAAAUCAAGGAAAAACAUUAAAUAAAGUAAGUAACAACUAACAAGCUAAUUCUUAAUUGUUACUAUGUUAGUGUAGUUGAAGGCUUGAAGCUUGAAUUGUUGCUUUUGAACUUGAAGUUAACUUACUGGAAUUUGGAACAUGUAGACCCUACUUUUUCGGGACAAAAUAGAGAGUUUUGGAACAGUUUUGGCACAAAAGGCAAUUAAGUUCACUAAUCCAGGUACUAAGUUUAUAAAAUAAGUAUAAAUUAUUUUUGUUCAUUCAUUUAUAUACAGCUAAGUUCAUUAAAAUAAUAAAAACUUAAAAUAUUUUACAGCUGAGUGGUGGAUUAAUUAUAGAGAAAGUGCUCCUGAGUUGAGAAAAAUCGCUAUUAAAAUACUGAGCCAAACAACUUCAGCUUCAAACUGCGAGAGAAAUUGGAGCACAUUUUCUCACAUUCACACAAAGACAAGAAACAGAUUGAAGUAUAAAAAAUUACAUGCACUUGUCUUUGUGCACUACAACAUGAGGCUGAAAAUCAGAAAUGUGAUAAGAAAAAGCCAACAGGAGUUAGACAGGAGCUACGAUCCAAUUAAUUUGGAUUAUAUUUUUAAAGAAGAUGAUCCGUUAAACUCUUGGUUGGAGGAAAGAGAAUCUCCAUUGUUUGAUGGGCAACCAAUGUAACAGCCCGAAAACCGGUACCCCUUUGUAACGGCUCCAAACUGCUCGGCGCUAGGAUCCAGAUCGGCUUAAGGCCGCGGGACCCGUAGCAAGCCUGCUAAACUCUCUAAACAUCUGGUAUAAUCCCAUACAUGAUCAACCUAUUACUUUUCAGGCUUAACCUGAGCAAGAUCUGUAACUGAAAACUUGUCUUUUCUCUUUACCAAGCUUAACUCGUGCAUGCACUUACUACUAACUUAACCCCACUCUGGAGUCUACAAGGGCUGCUCCAAUGGAGUAACAUCUCAUUCAUUAAGCUUGGUUACCAUGAAAACGUCUUGAAAACAUUUCAAGCAAAAUGAAAACAUUUAUCUUAAAAAACUCAUGAUCAUGUACCACAUGAAGGGAUUAACCAACACUAGGCAAAGCACAUCUCUAAACCUUAUCUCAUAUACCUUUCUUAACUUUACUCUAUCACUUUACCACAUAUUCUUUCCAUUCAUAACCUUUAUAUACAUCAUGUCCUUACAUCAUGUCCACAACUGCACUAUAUAAGCAUAUAAAACAUAACAUCACUUAAUCUUUAUAUCAAUCUUGCAUAACAUAUACAUGCCACUCAAACAACACUAAGCUAUACUAUUACAUCCAAAACACUAGCCACAACAUAACUCUUGACUCUGCCACCUCUGACUUCCCAUAGCUCACUCUGAUCAAACUCUGGCCCUGCAACACUGGGGUUAAGGGAAAGGGAUGAGCUACUAGAGCCCAGUGAGUAGAAACCAUAAAACAGUUCAUUCAUUCAUUACAUGCUCUCGUGCAAUGCGUCACAGCACAAACAUAUCAUAUCUCGGAUUAGACAUGACCCCAGACACUACAAAAAUCUGUUGGAAUAGUAACGGAUAUUAGUAACGGAUUUAAAUCCGUUAUAAUUUUAUAACGGAUUAGUAACGAAUUUUAUAUUCUGUUACUAAUUUUUAUUAUUUAGUAACGGAUUGACAAUCCAUUACUAAAUCUGUUACUUAAUAAAAUUAUUUAUAAAUUUAAUAACGGAUUUUGAGAUCCGUUAUAAAUCUAUUACUAAAUUAGCUAAAAGUUAGUAACGGAUCUCAAUCCGUUAAUAAAUUUGUUACUAAAUCGGUUACUAAAUAAAUAAAUUAAAUAAAUAAAAUAGUAACGGAUUUAAUAACGGAAUGUUGUAACGGAUUUAAUCUGUUACUAUUUUUUUAAUAAAAAAAUUAAUUUUUUAUUUUUUAAAAUUUCAAAUUUUCUUUUUAAGUUAGUAACGGAUAUAAUCUGUCACUAAAUCCGUUACUGAUACGAAAAUUAGUAACAAAUUCUAUAAUCCGUUACUAAAUUUUAGAAAAUAAAAUACCGCGCUUUUAUUUUAAAUUCCUGCAUUUUUAUUUCUAAUUUAGUAACGGAAAAAAUCUGUUACUGAGUUCAUUACUAAUUUAAAAUUAGUAACGGAUUAAGAAAUCCGUUACUAAAAUUUGAAGAAUAAUACCGCCUUUUUAUUUUAGUUCGCCCGCAUUUUUUUUUUAAAUUUAGUAACGGAUUUAAUCCGUUACUAAAUCCGUUACUAAUUCGCGUAUUUAUACACUCACCCAUUUUAUCUCCCUUCACUUAUUCAUUUUCUUUCUCCCCAUUUUAUUUCCCUUCAUUUCAUUCAUCUUCUUUCUCCUCUUCUCUCAUCAUUUCUUCAUUUCUCCCUUAUCUUAUUUUUUUCUUAAUUAUUAACUCCAUUUUUUUUUCAUUUUCUUUCAUUUCCUUCAAUUUUCUCUUUAAUUUUCUUUCAUUUCCUUCAAUUUUCUCUUCAAUAUUCUUUCAUUAUUGAUCUUCCUUUUAUCACUUGAUUUUUGUUUUAUUUUCUCUCAUAUUUUUUCUUUCAUUUUUUUCUAUUUUCUUUCAUUUUCUUCUAUUUUCUUUCAUUUUCUCUUCCACUUUCUAUCAUUUUCCCUUCCUUUUUCUUUCAUUAUUCAUUCAUUUAUUUUCUUUUCUCUCAUAUAUAUACUCUAACCUUUUUUUUACAUUCUUUUGUAUAUCUUCAUUUUCUCUUUAUUUUUCUUCAUUUUUUCUUCAUCUUUCUCUCAUUUUCUUUCUUUUUUCUAUUUUUUCUUCCUUUUUUCUCAUUUUCUUUAAUUUUCCCUUUUUUCUUAUUUGCUCUUCAUUUUUAUCAUUAUUUUCUUUUAUUUUCUUUCUUUUGUUAUUUUCUCUUUUAUAUCUCAUUUUUUUUUCUAUUCUCUCACAUUUUUUCUUUUUUAAAUUUUCUCAUGUAAUUUUAUAAUAAUUUUCUCAUAAAAUUAAUAAAAUUUAAAAUAUUAAAGUUAAUAUUUAAUAUAAAAUACAAUGAAAAAAUUAAUAGUUUACCAUAAUUAAAUUAUUAUCUAAUGUAAAAUAUAAUGAAAUAAAUUAAUUCCAUUUAAAAAAAAUGAAAUAAAUUAAUAAUUUAAUAUAAUUUUUAAAAUAUUUUUUAAAAUUAACAAUAGAUUUAAUAACGAAAUAUAAAUUUAAUAUAUUUUUUUUAUUUUUUAUUUUAUCAAAUUAGUAACGGAUUAGUAACGGAUUUCUAUCCGUUACUAAAUUUAGUAACGGAUGCAAUUUAUUUAUAUAUUUUUAAUUUUUAUUAAAUUAGUAACGGAUUUGAAAUCCGUUACUAAAUUUCAUUACAAAUCCGUUACUAAAUUCGUUACUAAAUUAGUAACAGAUUGCUAAUCGGUUACUAUUGCAUUAGCAACGAGGUUCAUAGUAACGGAUGUAAAUACGUUACUAAUCUGUUACUAAACUGGUUAGUAACGGAUUUUUCAUUGAUUAGUAACGGAAAAAUCCGUUACUAAUCCGGAAAAAUCUUAUAGUGAGAACUCCCUCUGUCGGUGACCGGCCCCUAAGGAACAUCUCGGUCACUACAUGUACUAGAGCCCGGCCCCUACUACGGAGCUCCCAAAGGUCUUAUCUAGACAUAACAGGUCGCGGGCUACUGGGAUCGCCUUGGUCCAUCCCAUCAACAGUAAAAUAGUGCAAUGCAACAUAGUCGUGAUCUCUAAUGCAAUACAACCUGGUAUCACAUGGCAUUCAUGAUGCGUGUCUCAUGCUCAUACUGUCAUUUCCUUUAAAUAUUAACUUUAAAACAUGCAUAGUUAGUUCUACUCACCUGAAGCCUCUGCUCAGCUAACUCUGGGCCUACUCUAACACUGGAGCUAAACACCUCGCCUCAGGUCCGAUCCUACACAGGUGGUCUCACAUGAGGUGCCAAACAACUCUAAAACAUCUCCCCAAAACCCCUCUAAAGCAUCAUAAGCAUGCAUGGAAAAACAUGCAAAGGAAGGCAAAACAGGGCACCUUCGGCGGCACUUUCGGCGGCCGAAAGUCUCCUCCAGAGACGAAACUCGGGUAGGUUCGGCGGCACCUUCGGCGGCCGAAUGUGCAUGACAGAUCCGAAAGUCCAACUUCCGGAGGCAAGGUUAGGCAGCCGAAACCACCUCCUCAAGGGUUCGGCGGCCGAAACUCCUUUCGGCGGCCGAACCUGAGUUCCUCUAGAACUCAAAUUCAUGCACCAACACACCUCCCUAAGCCUUCCUAACUCUCUUAACAUGCAUACAACCUCUUAAAACCAUGCAUAAACCUCUAAACAUGCAUAAAGGAGCCUAAAACAACCUUAAACUCUAACACUUAACAACAUAUAACACAUAAACACAUACAUAGGCAUAAAGGGCUAUAAAACCCUCCCAUGCAAAACCAUGCAACACAUGCUUCAAAACCCCCAAAACUCUCCAUAAAACUUGCUUAAAACAUCAUAAAACAUAAGGAUCAACACUUACCUCUUGAAGAACUAGAGUUGGUGUGAUCCUAGCUUCAAAACGUGGAGAUACCAAGCUUCUAAAGCUUCAAACUCCAAAACCUUGCUCAAAGCUCACAACUCUUCAAAACAAGGAUAAAAGUCAUGAAAACCUUGAAAGAACUUGUAAAAAACCAUGAAAUCAUACCAAGGAGGACAUGAGCUCACCUUGGGUGGGAAGAGGAAGAAAACUCACCUCUUGAACCGACCUAAGUGGCUUAUAUAGGUGGCUUGGUCAACCACUUUCGGCAGCCAAACAUGCAGGCAAAACCUUCCUACGUUCAGAAGCCGAACAUGGCUUUCGGAAGCCAAAACCAUGCAACCUUCGGCGGCCGAACUUUACCUUCGGCGGCCGAACCUGCAUUUUGCCUCCUUGACCUUUUCUCUCAAAACUCAAAACCUUUUAACUUAAAACCAUCAAAACCCUUAAAACCUUUUUGAAAACCUUUUAGAAAACCUUUAUUUUACCCUUGCUUAACCCUUGACAAAGGGUCCGACAUCCGAGAUUCCACCGGACGGUAGGAAUUCCGAUGCCUGAACGAGCCGGGUAUUACAACCAAAUCCAUGGUUAGAUGAUGAAGAGGCGGGUAAUGCUCCAUCACAGUCUGAAUCUGCCACUCAAACUCAAGGACAACAAGGUGCUGCUGGUGAUGAUGAUUCUUUUAUUUUAUCCAGCUCUAGUAGUGAUGAUGAUGGUGGUGGUGGUGAUCAAGGUGGAGGAGGAACCACAGUUGAAGGAGGUGGUAGUCGUAGUUCACAAGAUCCACCUAGUCAAAGACAAAGUGGAAUUAGAAUUGCUUCUGAACCAUCUCCGAUGCGUACAUAUCAAAGAUCACAAGGCUCUCAUAGUUCUGGUACUGGUGGUGCUGAAACAUCCCAAACAAGAGGUAAGGAUGUUGCAUAUGAGGAGGAGGGGUCAAUUGAUUCAUUAAAUUAUGAAUACAAUGCUGGCACAUAUAAUCCAAAUUUUAUGUAUGGUGGUGGACGUGGACCUGGUGGUAGCUCAUCAUCUGAAGAUACUUCAUCAAAUUAUGGGUUCCAUGGCCAAUUUAGAGGGGUGCCAUAUCCAACAAAUUAUCCUCCUGCAUAUUCAUAUUACCCCUUAUCAAGAGCAGAGUCAGCUUUAUCAUACCCUCAACCAACUUAUGGUGAUCCUAAUGAUAUUAUGGGUGGUGGUUCUUUAUUUAGUUUUGAUCCACAAUAAUACUAUCAACAUCAGCAGCAUCACCUUAAUGAUCAAAGCUCAGAGAGCCAAAGUCAAGACCAACAAGAACCUGCACAAUGUUCUUUUUGGUGGUAGUGAGGUUGGUAAUUUCCUAUUUGGUAUUUAAUUUAAGCUAAAUAGUAUACAUUUGAUAUAUUUAUGUUUAUUAUAUAUUUGUAUAUAUUGUUCUGAAUUAAAUCUAUUGAUAUCAUAUCAUUUUAUGAACUUUGCAAAUUGAUUUGAAAAAUUUGCGUAGCGCCAGGCCGUUACCAUUAUGUUACGGCUGUUACAGACCUAUUUCCGUUACCCGCGACCGCGGCCGCGAUCACCAUUUAAAACCAUGAUCUGAUUUCUGGUUCUUGUUAUAUGCUCUUACAAAAUUCAUCUAAAAUUCAGUGCUCUUACACAUUCUAGAAACACAAUUUAUACAAAAACUGAUUCUCAGGAAAAAAGGGAAAAUAAUGUUAUUUGCAUUGAAUGAACAAAUGAUUAGCUUAGUAGCAAAACUACUUAAAAUCAGAGAAAUUAGAAAUAAAAAAGCAGCACAACAUGAGUCUGGGCAUUGCAUGUUGCAUGAUCGAAACAGAGGUCUUGAGCGAGAAUCUAGAUCCUGAAAUACGCAGGCCUGCAAAAAGUCAUUCGAAGAAGUGUGCAAAACUCCCAUCAUUAAGCUUUCAUUUCUGCUUCCCGCUCAGCAGGAUUACUAUGUACUGAGUUGUUUUCUGAACUGUGACAGAUAGGAAACUUGUCCCGGUGAGUUUUUAUUCCGGGAUGUCAAGGGCACAAUGCGCAGCUUAGUGAAUCUCCAUCAUCUUUGCCACAGGUGUAAGUUAUGAAGAUAGUUGCUAGAUGGAGGAUUUUCACACUAGUGAUUUAGCAUCUGUUUCAAGCCAGAAUCAUCAUUAAAUCACAGAUUUGCUUUACAAGCAAUAACUAGGGGGAUUUCAUAUUACAAGUAGAGUCUUUAUAACCUACUGAAUCGCUUAUUUGCGAAGACAGAAGAAAAGGAGAGCUCACGUUUUGUUUUUACUGCACAAAUACUGCAUAUGGAAUCUGAGUGAGAAGUUACUCCCUAAAAAUUUCAAAAGUGUUUUUGAGAGGUACCUUUGCGCGAAUCUUCUGGCAACAGACUCAAAGAAGUCAUCCAAUAAGUAGAAAUUCAUCUAUGGAAGGCCACACACAUGAAUAGCAGUUCUUUCAAGGCGAAUUAUGCCAAGCCAAUCAAGGAAUUGCUGCCAUGGCAUGUAGUUGUGUUUUCUUAAAGUGUUCGAGUAACUUCUGCACAAGGAAUCAAAUUAAUCUUUAAAUCCGUGAAAUUAAAAAGGAUGCAGAAUUACAAAACUAAUAAUAAGAACAAUAAUAAUAAGAUGGAUAGAAGCAUGACCAGCCAAUGCAUGAUUUCGGCAAGCCUUUGCUUUGGUUCACCACUUCCCAAUGUAGUAAGAAUUUCAACAGCAUCCCAGAAUUUCAAUAGCAUCCCAAUGAUAACUCAUACUUAAUGAGCCUUGAUGGAGAAAUGAAAGUCCAGUUAAAAUUAUUCAAAAUGCAUAUCCACUCGCCAAGAACAUAUGCACCCAGAAAUCUCCUUAAAUAAAUAAGGUUUUAACAAGGUGAAUGCUUUGCUUUUUUCUUUUUUUUUGGGAAGAACUUCAAAGUAAACAAAGGUAAGACUAUUGGGUUUCGAUGUUUACCUUGUGUGGGAGAAAUAUAAUGUUUACACAGAAAUCACAUUUUGUUUUCAGAAUAAAUGGAUUUUUCCACCUCUGCAUUUGACAUUGAAAAAACUUGAAUAAAUACCAAAUAAUUAAGAAAUGCUGCUGAUUUAAUUUACAAAGGAAUGGUGCCUGUGAAGAGAAAUUGACAUAUGGCAAUCACCUUCAGCACAAUCAAUUCUCAUCCUAAGUUAGAAGACUAAUCAAACUAAUUGCAGCAAUAACAUCUUUUCCACGACGUCUACUAACUUCUGCACAUAGAGUCAAAAUUAAUCCGUUAUAUCCAUGAAAAGAAUGAAGGCAGAAUUACAUUAAAAAAUGAAUAAAAAUGAUGGUUAAAAGAAUGACCUGCCAAUGCAUUUAAAAUCUCUUUGAAUUUGUUUCCCACAUCCCAAUUUAUUAGAAUUUCAGGUGAGUAAAAAAGAAAUAAAUGAUUCCUCUAGCUCGAUGAGCCUGUACAUGUGGGAAAAAAGUGUUAAAAUAUUAUCAUAAAGCAAAUAAAUUCUCAAUUAUAAAAAAAAAAAAUAAAAGAAAAAAAAGGUACUCUGUAUAUUGAUCUUGAUUGUAAAGAAAUAAUGACAAAAGGAUACUUACGAACUCAAAGGUAAUACACUGCUCAUUUUGGAAGAAACACAUCCAACACUUCAAAACUUAUCCUUCAUUGAUCUGUGUAAAUAGAAUCAUAGAGUGAAGAUUUUCUCAUGUAAGUUUAAUUUGCAAAUUGGACAGAAAAAGGACCAACUUACCGAAGCUUCAUCAUCCAGUAGAUAGCGGCCCUCUCUUUGAAUUCUUUGGUCAUCAACUUCAAUAUUUGGGAUGUGAGAAAUGAAAGCCCAAUCCGCACCCUUUCUAUUUCCACAUGUUUCCUUCAAUUGGGGACAGUCAUUGAUAUUCAAUUCUCGUAACGAGGUGAGGGAACGCAUCUCUUGAGGCAGACACUUUAUUGCCGGACAAUACACAAUGGUUAGAUUUUGAAGACAAGUGAGAUUCCGCAGUCCAUCUGGAGGUAGAGAUUCGAGCUCUUUAAUGUCCAUAAUGCAAAGGUUCUUCAAUUUAGAGAGAGGAGGAAUGAUUGAGGAAGAAGAAGAGAUUGAUGGUGUGAAUAUUUGGUGCACAAGUUGUGGGCUUGCGUGCAGCAAUUCUAGUGAAUCAUCGAGAGAUGGAAACUGAGGGAUGGAGGUCAAAUUAGGGCAGACCUCACAAGAGAAAUAUGAAAGACAAGGAAAUUGGAGUAGCUCAAGAGCUGUCGAAUCAUCCCUCUUCUUCUGCCAUCCUUUAAGCUUAGGACAAAGAUAUAGCUUGAGAGUCUUUAGGGAUGGAAAGAAUGAUGUUGGUUGUCCCUCAAUCUCCAUGUAUUUUAAAUCAUCUACUCUCGAAAUCUCUAGAUAUUGAAGAGAAGGGAUUUGAUCCAUUGGUGGGAGAUGCUGAUAUCUCUUGCAAUCGCAUAUAGAGAGAUAGACAAGAUUCGUGAGGGAAGAGAACCAACUUGGGAACCUGCUGCCUCCAUAGCCAAGCACACGUAACUCUUUAAGAUUGGGAUGUGGUUGGAGAUUUUGGAAUGCCAUUUCAUCUCUAUCAACAUUUGAAUGUUCCCAACUCUCCUCCCAACGUAAUUCCAAUGAUUGAAGGAAACUUAAUAGUCAACAGUACUCACUGUUCGUGUCAGCUUGCGAUGUGUGUCAAAGGGUGAAGCUAGAGCACCAGAAGCCGGCGGGAAUGCUUAACCCACUGCCGAUUCCAGAGUGGAAAUGGGAGAAUAUCGCUAUGGACUUCAUAGUGGGGUUACCGGCAACGUCCAACAGAUUGGACUCCAUAUGGGUGAUUGUGGACAGACUCACCAAAUCUGCUCACUUCAUCCCUGUCAGGAGUGGCUAUUCUGUGGAUAAGCUGGCGCAGGUGUAUGUGGAUGAGAUUGUCAAGCUGCAUGGGGUUCCUGUUUCUACAGUGUCUGAUAGAGGGCCCCAGUUCACCUCCAGAUUUUGGCGGAGUCUGCAGAGUGCUAUGGGUACCAGAUUGGAUUUCAGUACUGCUUUCCAUCCACAGACUGACGGACAGUCAGAGAGGACCAUCCAGACGAUAGAGGACAUGCUCAGAAUGUGUGUGCUAGAUUUUGGCGGUUCUUAGAGGCAGCAUCUACCCUUGGUGGAGUUUGCCUACAAUAACAGCUAUCAUGCUAGCAUAGGGAUGGCCACAUAUGAAGCUUUGUAUGGGAAGAAGUGCAGAUCUCCUAUCUGCUGGGAAGAAGUGGGAGAAAGGACUCUUGCGGGUCCGGAGUUAGUAGAGCUUACCAGCAGGGUAGUGCCCAUAAUCAGAGAGAGGAUCAAGACUGCUGCUAGCCGGCAGAAGAGUUAUGCAGAUAUCCGCAGAAGACAGCUAGAGUUUCAGGAGGGGGAUUUGGUUUUGCUCAAGGUGUCUCCUAUGAAAGGGGUGGUUCGUUUUGGAAAGAAGGGUAAGUUAGCUCCACGGUAUAUCGGUCCUUUUGAGGUUCUCCAGAGGGUCGGAAAUGUAUCGUACAAGCUGGACUUGAGGUUCUAGAUCACUGUGGUCUGUGGCUCGUAUGCAACCCAAAUUUCUAGUUGACACCUGCAGAGACUCAAAGAAGAUAGAAAACAAAUUAGAGUAAUUCAAAUUUAAGUUGAUUUCUUUUGUUUUUUUAAUUAAUCCUUUGCCUGAGAUCUUUCAUCCGAUUGACUAAGAAUUAUCGGCAAAACCAACGAGAAUGAUAAAAAAGGCCUUCAGUGAGUACUGUUGACUAUUAAGUUUCAGAAAUUGGGAACAUUGUUGCCUUGAUUCACUUGUGUUCUCUCAGAAGAAUUAAAUCCAAGAUGUAAAUUCCCCUUCAGUACUAAGUUAAGAUCUUCCACUUCCAUUCCCUUGUAAGUUAGGAGUUUGACAAUUGAUUUUCCAAAAACACUAUCAAAACCUUUUCUGAAAAAGGAUAUUCCUUCAGAAAUAGAGUUGAGGAAGUCAUCCAGAAUUUCAUUAUUCUUGGCAUUCUUAUUGUAAAAGGAUCGAUAUGCAUCUCUUACAUCUUCUAUAGAAAUAUCCUUUCCAGCCAGUUGCAAAAGAAACACACGAUGAAAGGCAACACCUACUUGCACUUCAUGCAUCAAUGCCAAUGCAAUCACCUUACCAGAAAAUUCAAAACAGUCGUAAUGCAAGGGUUCCAACUUCAAUUCUGCAUAUAUAAUGAAUUAAAAAAUAAUGGAUCGUUACUCUAUAAUUUCUCUUUUCUACUCCUUCCUUCUUAUAUUCUUUAACAUAUAAACAUAUCUAUAUUAGGCAUAUAUCAAUCAUUUCUCAAGAAAAGAGAAAAUCAGGUAAAGUAAUAUAUUAUUAUGGAUGCCACUGACAACAAAUUAAGAUCAAAUUAAAAAGGUAGGAUAGUGCCUGCAAGUUGAUCCAAAUGAGCGUCCAACUGCUUAUGAGCUUUUGGAUCAUCCAUUUGUGAAGGAUAGUGGCUUUUAGCAUCUUUUUUCAAAUUUAGUGAACUCCCUGAAGUUUCUUCUUUAGCCUUAAUUGUGUGAACAUACACCUCUCAUAUUGCUUUCUAAGAGAAAAAGAAAGUCUAGUUAGGUCGUUUAUGAACUUGCAAUGAGUCAAAAUCAUUUUGUAACAUCAUAUUUUAAGUUUGGUACGUGUAUGCUGUGUUUUGAGUUGUAGCUGUUGAUUCUCCUAUGCUGCGUUUGUAAAAGACCGUUAGUCCUCAAUUUUGUUUGUAAUGAGUUUUUUCGUUCUCUCGCCUCAAAUACACGACACAUCGGACUUAACCGCUCAUUUAUCCAAUGUGAAUUAUCUUCAAUUAUAUAUACUGUUUUUGGAUUAAAAUGAUGAAAAGCAGUCAUGAAUCUAUGCAAACGACUGUAUGAUUCAUAUUUAUCCCUCACUUCGACUUGUAGGGUAGCAAUUUUUAUAUAUGGCUCCUGUUCAAUUAAUGCAAAUAUAAAUGAACAAAUAAAAUUUUCAUCCAAUUGGUUAUGGUUUUUUGUCAACUGAGAAUUUGUGCAUGUGUGCAACUCACUGUAUCUCGUAAUUUUCCAUAUAUCCUCCCCUUCUUUUUUGGAUGUUUGAAGCCUCCAUGCACACCCACUUUCUUUGUCUUUACACUUUAUAGAAUAAGUCUUCUCUCUUGUUGCAUGAUAACAAAAUUGAUGAUGAUAUUUUUUUGCAGCCGCAGCCACUGCAUCUCUUGAAAAAAUAUCAUCCAAACUGAAAAUUCUUUAGAAGGAUCCCAAAAGGAACGACCUUCUGGCCUAUCAUAAGGAUCCACUCUCAGCAAAUCGAAGUCUAUUUCUGCGUAUGGGGGAUGAUGAACAACAGACACAAUAGGAUUAGGAAAUUGUGUGUUGUAAUAUCGAGACUCACUCCCACUAUCUUCCUGACCAUUAUCAUCCUCAUCAUCCUCAGAAGACAUCCAUGAAUCAUCGUCAUCGUCAUCCUCGUUGUCAUUCUCUACUGCAUCAGAUAAAUUAAUUGAUGGCCCUGUAAGACUUUUAGAUAAACCAUAAUCAUCAACUACAUUUUGCUCUUCACAUGAAUCAUCAUUUGAUUCCACAGCAGUUUCAGAUUGACCAAUAUCAGCAUCCUCAUUUGUAGUAUCAACACAACGAAGUAUCUUAACAUAUAUUUCUAUACCAAGUAUACCACCAAUUUGAUACAAGUAAUUAAACAUACUAGAUACAUCAUCUUCACCCCAUAUCUCCAUACAUUAAAUUUUAAGGAUCCAUCCACAAUUGUAGACUUUCUAAAACUAAUUGUCUAUAAAUUCAUUAUUCUCGGAUAAUCCAAUUGCACAAGCAAUUUUACCGACCAAUUGAUUAAAACUUAUCUGUAUACCCAUUGGAAUAAUCUUUGAAAAACCUCCAUCAUAAUCGUAACCAUUACAACUAUUUAUAAUAUUAUCAUCCCAAUGAAUAUUAGUAUAUACAGGAACUGUCAUUUCUCUGAUAAAAAAAAAUAGAAUAAUAAAUAAUUUGAUCUCAAUUUACUAUAUACAUAAAAAAAAUAAAAAUUUAGAAUAUAAAAUAUUUAAAACUUACCUGCGUUUCUCUUUUUGUAGUCGAAUCGAUAAGAGUAGAUAUAAUAAUUUUGUGAAAUUUGUAGAGGAGAAUAAAUAGUUUAUAGAACGCAAUUUGUUGAGAUAUAAUGCAGAUUUUGAGUAAUUUAUAGAGUAGUGGGUGAGAUAAUUUAUAGAGAGAUCGGAAAGGGGCGAGCUAAAGUGAUUUAUAGAGUGGUGAGUGGGAUCAUUUAUAGAGAGGUGUGGGAGUAGUAGCCGUUGGCUAGUUCGGCAGUGAUGGUGCCGAACUAGCCGUUGCCGAACUUAUUGCUCCGUACAUGUAGACAAAGAAGCCACGGACUGCACAGGAGGAAUUAAUUGUACAAGAAUUUGUUCCACACCAUCACUGCCGAACAAAUUUCUGUGCAAUGAACCUGCAUGCAUGCACGGUCCUGCAGGUUCAGCUCUUCGGCACUAUAAGUGCCGAAGAGUUUUCUUCUUGUGCGUGUUCGGCACCUUGUGUGCCGAACACGUCAUGCUGGCAGCCACGGGAGCAGAUUACACUGCUCCGUGGCACGGAUCAGCUUGUUCGACACCAUGAGUGUCGAACAAGCUGAAAAACAUCAUGUUCGAUACCUAUAGUGUCGAAUAAUAGGAAGUUUGUACAGCCAUAUCUUUUAGUGUACCAUAGACACAAAGUGAGCAAUUUGAACAAUUUUAGAAUUUCAAUUCAAAUGUGUAUAUAUUUUCUUGUUUUAUUUCUUCCAAAAAUCUGCAAAUGAUGUUUUAUUGUUCUUUUUCUAAACAAAUCAUGUGACCAUAUUGUAAUAAUUUUGUUCAUUUAAUUUGUACAACACAGAAACAAUCUUUUACAAACACAGCACAGAAGAAUGAAGCACAACAUACACCAACCUUAAAACAUGAUGUUACAAAAUGAGCGAUUCACUGCAAGUUCAUGAAUAAAUCUGCUACCUUUUUUUUUUUUUUUCUGAAGGAAGUAAACGUGAACAAAAGCUCAUAAAACAUUGAACAUUUGUUCACACCAUUCAAGCUGAAAAGAAAUUUGAGAAAUGCUAACAGCCAGAAUCCUUCACAAACAGAUGAUUCAAAAGCUGAGAAGCAGUAGGACGCUUUUUUGGAUCAACUUGCAGGCACUUCAUGAUAAAAUCUCGCGCAUUCUCUGACAGAGAAUAAUUAGGAAGAUGAUUUCGAAGUGUCCCUUUUUCAACCUCCAAUUCUAGAUUUGCAUCCCAAUCAUUCACAUGAGAGUAUGGAUAAUUCCCAGUUAACAUCUCCAAGACAGUGCAGCCAAGGCUCCAAAUAUCAGCUUCAACUCCAUACUCUUUGUCCUUUUUCAUAACCUCUGGAGCUAUCCAGUCUAUUGUCCCAUGGCGAGACUUCAAAAGAGGAACUAAUUCUGUCACUUUUGCCAAUCCAAAAUCUGUAAUUUUCACGCAUCCUUUCUCAUCCACUAAUAUAUUUGCACAUUUGAUGUCUCUGUGAACUACCUUUCGCUCAUGGAGAUACUUCAAACCUUCUAGUAUCUGGUUGGUGUAGUAGGAGACUUGGGAGUCUUUCAAUUUAAAACUUUUAUAUACUUGUCGGAGGGAACCUGUGCUUACAAGCUCAAGAAAAAUAUAGACCCCUGACUUAUCCUCCUCAGUACCAUAGUAUUUGACUAUAUUUGGAUGACGUAAUUGACACAAUAAAUUAACUUCUUGCUGAAUUCUGUCAAUUUCUUGCUUAAUUUUGUCUUUGAUUCGUAUUUUCUUUACCGCGAAAAAGAAACCACCAUCUGCAUAUCCCUUGUACACGUUUCCAGAAAUCCCUCCUCCCAGAGUCUUCUUACGGUCCAUUCGCCACUCUGACUUGUUAAUAUUAAGUCCUUGUCUAUUAAUCUGCAAGUUAUUCAAUAUAUUUUCAACAUUAAAAAUUAAUAGAAUUGCAGUAGUACUCCUGGUUAUGCUAAUAAAUCUCACAAGAUUUCUUCUAAAAUAUUUGCAAUACCUGCAGUAAAAUCGUGAAAUUGCUAAAAGGUCAUAGAAAAAAAGUCCAGGAACCUACAUGAUUGCUUUAGAAAGACGACAAAACAAGCAAUUUAUUAACAAAGAAGAUUUCAGCAACUCAUGUAUUGUAUUUGAAAUUAGUCUUCGUAGCUGGAUAAGUACUGAAAACAUAUAGGAAACAACAGUUAUGUUAUGAUAACACUGAAAUUUUUGUAAGCGCGUACCUUCAGGAACUGAGACAUCAGAGGAUCACUCGCAUGUGUUAUCUCUCCAGAAAUAAAUUCAAGAUUUAAUUUUCCCUUUAGCACCAGGUUAAGAUCUUCAAGUUCUAUGCCCUUGAAAGAUAGCAGUUGGACGAUUGAUUUUCCAAAAACACUAUCAAAGCCUUUUCUGAAAAAGGAUAUUUGUUCAGAGAUAGAGUUGACUAAGUCAUUCCGAAUUUGAUCAUCAUCAAGAAAACAUUCCUUGGCCUUCUUAUUGUAAAAAGAAGGAUAUGCAUCUUUUACAUCUCCUAUAGAAAUAUCCUUUUCCGCCAGUUGAAAAAGAAACAUACGGUGAAAGGCAACACCUAUUUGUAGUUCAUGCAUCACUGCCAAUGCAAUCACCUUGCCAGAAAAUUCAAAACAGUCGAAGUGCAAUGGUUCCAGCUUCAGUUCUGCAUAUAUAACAUAUGACCAAAAACGGAAAAAGAAAAACUAUACUUAAAACGGGAUAUUAAUAAAUUUAAGAUAAAAAGGAUUUUUAUGGCAUAUUUCUCGUAUUAAAUGUAUUUUUAUUGGUUUACAUUAUGAUUAAAUUUAAAAAAUUUGCAGUUUUUUUUAAUAUGGAAAAAAUGUAAAAUCUAGAAAAAAAAAUAAUCGGAAUUAGUAGUCUUAGAAUCUAUUUGUACAAAAAUAAAAGAUAGAUUUAAUUUUUCGAGUGAUCUGAUCAUGCGGGGUAGUACAAGAAUAUUCACCUGUUGUCCAUCGACUACGCCCUUCAGCCUGAUCUUAGGCCUUGACUCACUUUUCGUGGACGAACCUUGCGGAGGAACCCUUAUAUCACAUGUUUCGUGAAUUUACAUAUAAUUUAGGUAAAAGUCAGAGAUGACAACUUAUUAGUAAAACUUUUUAUUGUACAUAUUAAUAAAUAUAAAUAAUCUUUUUAUUAUGCAUUUUGCGUCGAAUGUGUACGGUCAAUUUAUGCCAUCAUCUAUUAACUAUCUGUCAUACCCUAAAUACUUUCAUAUCUUAUUGUUUUAAUACCUAAUCGUAUUGUCUCACAUGUACAUAGCUAGCCGAAAGGAAUGAGAAGAAAAACUUAAAAAUCUUAUGCCAAGUCCAAUAUUGUAUGCUACAUGUCGUAAAUUAAUUAUAUGAUGAAGUUGUGACAUAAGGGUUAUAUCAAUCAUUUAUCAAGGGGAAAAAAAAAAUAGGAGAAGCAAUAAUUACGGAUGCUAUUCAUAGGAUCUUACCAGGAUUAGGGUAGAACUUCGUAGGAUCAUUUGGGCACGCCAAGAAAAGCAGAUUUUGCGGUUUGAAUAUAACUUGGCAUAACUUGUAUAACCAAUCCUGCAACUUUUUAGGACUGGUGAGCUUCUUAUUUUUCAAUGCUUCAAACAUCUCUUCGUCCAGAAAUCUAGACCAGUGAAUGAGUGGCUUGUAGAACUCUGCAUCAAGUAAUUUUUCCUCGGGGAUCAUCAUCAUGGUGACUAAGUGCAUCCUGGAUUCAGAAUCAAUCACAUCAUUGUGCUCAAGCAGCCAGUGAUAAUCAUCUUCUCUAGUAGUUGUUUCAAGUAUCAGUCGUAAUGAACUCUGCUGCCUCUUCAAUAAAAGCCGAAACUGCUCCCUUUCACUCUCCCAUAGUUGAGAAAUGCUAUUCAAUUCUUUCAAAAUGUCCAGAUAUAAAUGCGAAACAGAACACAAACAACCACUUGUUUCGAAUAGUUCUGCUGUUAAUAGUAAACCAUGAAGAUGACCCUCCAUGUCUGUAGACAGGUGAUUGAAUGCUUCUUUAGUUGGGACUGAAAACCAUGUCAAUGUUUCUUCAUCGUCACCGUCUAUAUAGCCAAUUGCAUUGCGCACUACACAUGAAAAUGCCUGAAAUUCACCAAAAAGAAAUUUCAAUGAAUCAAUGUGUGAACUUGGAUUUGAUACGCGGAUCUGAACCAAACCCUUGCAUAAUGUGCUUGUCAUCUCAUAAAGGAAAGAACAAAUUGUCAGCACUGUUUCUGGCUCCUCAAAGAGUUUGAUCUUAAAUCUACUUCUUUCCACCAACUGUUUGAGAGAAGUCCGACAUGACUGAUACAGAGGAUCUUCAUUAGUUACUUGAUGUCGAAGUAAUUUACAGAAUUCUAAAGCCAAUAGUCUACAUUCUGGAAGAAAAUCAUCUGGACGAUUCAAUAAAUAAUGCAUGGAAGACAAUAUCAAAGCUCUAGCAUAGGCUUUCUGUUGUUUAAUUCUUGACCUGUAAAACAUAACCAAAGUCGCAGGGACAGAAUACGCAAUCAGAAGAAGCUCUGAUUGCUCGUUUCUUUCAGGUGCCAACAGUGCAAACAUCUUAUGCGCUAGUGGACAGUAAUCUAUCCGCGAGACAGAUUUCUCUCGGUACAUUCGACAAAUGGUCGAACUGAUUUGGUGGAUCAUUUGAAAAAGUUCCGAUUCGCCGUCGAGUUCAACCACCAAUUUGAGCCAAGCUUUGUUUUGAAUUGAGCAGUCUUCAAGCGUCUUAUUCCACUCUAGCUUCUCACCUUUGUAAUAUAAUUUCUGUUGCGUAACUGGAAUUUUGGAGAUCACCAGGAUUUUCUGCUGGAUAAAUUGUACUUCAAAAUUGGAUUUCACAAGAAUUUUUAUAGGUUUACGUUUCGGCAUUCUGACAAAUAAAUGAAAGGAAUUGGAUUCACUAUUCGCCAUCAGCUCUAGAUCACUGUGGUCUGUGGCUCGUAUGCAACCCAAAUUUCUAGUUGACACCUGCAGAGACUCAAAGAAGAUAGAAAACAAAUUAGAGUAAUUCAAAUUUAAGUUGAUUUCUUUUGUUUUUUUAAUUAAUCCUUUGCCUGAGAUCUUUCAUCCGAUUGACUAAGAAUUAUCGGCAAAACCAACGAGAAUGAUAAAAAAGGCCUUCAGUGAGUACUGUUGACUAUUAACUCUUCAGUGAGUACUGUUGACUAUUAAGUUUCCAACAUCCUUUGAGGAAAUAUGCCCUUUUGCCACUACGAACAGUGACAACGUCUGAAGUGAACUCAACUGCCCAAGCCCACGUGGCAUAUGAGUCAAAGAGAAACAACCUUGACAAUACAAAUGCCUAAGAUUCACAAGCUUUUUAAUAUCUUUAGGCAAUUCUUUGAGGUUGUAACAAGAAGAGACAUUUAAUACUUGUAAAUUCAGCAAAUCCGUAAUAGAAUUUGGAAGUGCUAUAAGACUCUCUAUAUUAGAAACAUUAAGAUAUCUUAAAUAUUUUAGCAUUUUUAUAGAGCUAUCCAUCAUAUUUAUUCCACAUGAAUACAUCCUAAAUACACGCAAAAAUUUUAAAUUAUGCAAAAAUUUUAAAUUUUUAUGAAUAAAUAGCCAAUCAUGAUCAUGUUUCCUAAGCAGACCAUGAUCAUGUUUCCUAUUCAGAAAUAACGAUCGUAUUCUUUUUGCGUUAUUAAGAAUUUCUUGUGGUGCAACAUCAAAAUUCAACGCUACAUGAUGGGUUUUCUCAUCAAUAUUUGGUGCAUCAGAAUUUAUCAGCUGAAUUCUCUUUCCACCCACUGUGGUUGCGAGAUCGUGCAUUAAAUCAUGCAUUUUACAGCUUUCAACAUUUCCACAUCUAUCUCUUUCCACCUCUUGAAAAAAUGACCUCCACCACAGUUUCAUAAAAUAUUCAAGCCCAAUAUCUUCAAGACAAUCACUCGUACUUGGUGACUCAAUAAACCCUUGUGCAAUCCAAAGAUGGAUUAAUAUUUUCACAUUAAUCACAGAAUCUUUUAGAUAUAUUGCGCAAUAUGCAAAACAAUGCUUCAAAUGUGAUGGGAGAUGAUCAUAACUUAGCUUCAGUGUUGGCAUAAUAUCAUUACCAUCUUGACUUAUUCUUGAGAGUUCUUUUGUUAAAAAGGGCAGCCACUCAGUUUGUGGAUUUUUCGCAUACAAGAGACUUGCAAUAGUUUUUAUUGCAAGAGGAACUCCACGACAUUUCUUCAAAAUCUCCUUUCCCAUCUCUCUUACAUUUGCAUGUUUUGGCUCCUGCCCCUCAAGUGCUACAUGCAAAAACAAAGACCAAGACUCAUCCGGAGACAACCCUUCCAAAACAUGUGGUGCCAUUGUGCUAGACAUAUCUGCCACCUUUUUAGAGCGAGUGGUUAUUAAUAUCUUACUUCCACUAGAGCCACCCACUAAUAAUCUCUUUAAAUUCUCCCAUUUUUCUCUAUUCUCAUUCCACACAUCAUCUAGAACAAGCAGAUAUUUCUUCCCACUAAUAAUUUUUUCCAGUCUAGACUUCAAUGCUUCUAACCCAAGAUCUUCCGAUCUAUUCCCUGUUGCAGACUCUAGAAUCUUUCCAACAGUCAUUUUCACAUCAAAAGGUUCUGAAACACACACCCAUAUUCUUGGCUCAAAUGAAUUCUUAAUCAAUUCAUCAUUGAAUAUGAUUUGAGCAAGAGUGGUCUUCCCUAAUCCUCCAAUUCCAACAAUUGAGAGGACUGAAACACACUCUUCACCAUUGGAAGACAAUACAAGUUCUGUAAUUGCCUUUUUGUCACCCUCUCUCCCAAUAAUCACUUCAGGUAAAGAGGACGUAGUUUGAUCCCUCCAUACAAUACUCUCCUGAUCAGUACGAACCUCUAAAUUAAAUUUUCUGUCAGCUUCAAUAUCAGCUAGCCUCUCCCUAAUCGCCUUAACUUUAUGACCCAUUUUAAAACCAUAAACAAGUUGAUUUGAAGACGAAAAGAAGAGACUUACCUCCUUUGUCAUUCUAUUUCCAGUCAUCACUCGGCGCCUUAGAGCUUCUGUGGCGAAGUCAUCUACCAAGUCAUCAGCAUCAUAAACAACUUCUUCUAGCCUCUCAAGCCAGCCUUUCACUUGACGGUUAAGUUUCUGCUGCUCCUCAGCAUCCAGAAGAACGUUGCGAAUACUAGAAACUGUGGCCUCAAGUUUCUUAAGCUCACCUUUGACGCCCCACCACAAUCCGAUCUCAUGAAGGGCUCGAGAACCCAGCUUGGUAAUGAUAUCUCUGACAACGUUAGAGAGAACUCCGUCGGCCAUUUUGGGUGUUUUGGUUUGGUUGUAAAAGGAUGAAAUGUUGCUGUGAAGAAGAAGAUACCGACAACAAAUGACUAAUUUAAAGAAAAAAAGAAGCGGAGGAAAAAGCAUCUUCUAAAUGAUUAUGUUCGGUCGGUCAGCUUUUUGGAGGGCC
This 45611-nucleotide long non-coding RNA is filed under the name Manihot esculenta (cassava). RNAcentral describes it as "long non-coding RNA (MESC_LNC003831)". The record is from RNAcentral. Lineage: Eukaryota; Viridiplantae; Streptophyta; Magnoliopsida; Malpighiales; Euphorbiaceae.